RNAcentral lists this long non-coding RNA (48460 nucleotides) under Medicago truncatula (barrel medic). Its description in RNAcentral is "long non-coding RNA (MTRU_LNC002198)". Lineage: Eukaryota; Viridiplantae; Streptophyta; Magnoliopsida; Fabales; Fabaceae. The record is from RNAcentral.
ACCACUCCCCUGGUCGUGUAGCAAAAACUUCCGGUAAAAACAACAACGAAAGUCAAAGUAAACUAAUAACACUUUUUUUAAAAUAUUUUAAGUCUUUUGUUUCUCAACCACCGGAUCAAUCCAAGGGCCGUGAAUCAGGGGCGGUUCUAAGGCCCGGCGACCCUGGGCACUCGUCGGGCUUCGGGCCAAAUUUUUUGCAAUUUUUUGUGUAAAUCCCUAUGAAUUUCUUAUAUAAACCCCUAUAAAUUGGGCAAUUUCUUUACAUUUUUUAUUAUUUGCUUGCAAUUUUUUAUGUAUGUCAUAUAAAUGUGUUGCAAAUUUUUUUUGCCCGGGCUUUAGAAUAUUCCUGCUCCGCCAAUGCCGUGAAUAGUGCAGGAGAGAUUGAAGGAGAGAGCACAGCAGGAGAGGAUCCGCUCGCAAAAUCUUUGGAAUCCUUCUCUCUUCUUCCAACCGAAACCCUUUCCUUCAUUGUUAUCUCUUCUUCCAAAAACAGUUCUCUCCGCAUUUAACAGCAAGUUUGCAAGAUUUCAAAGCAAUUUUGAAACAAGCAAGGUUAGAAAAUUGGGUUCUUGAUUCAUGAUUUUGAUUGUUUCUGUGUUUUGUACCAUUAAUGUGUGUUUCUGCCUUUUCCAAUUUCUACAUCGUUGGUUUUGUGAGUGCAGAGGCAAGCUUGAACUAAUUUGACGUCAAUUAAGAAUUCAACAUUUCAGAUUAUAUUGAAGAGUUUUUAGAAAAUUUAUAAAGGAAAGGGCAAUUUUGGUAUCAAGGUAAAAUUUUAAGUUAAUUCUUACUCUUGUGUUUUUAUACUAGUAUUAUUAUUGAAUUUGAUUAUUUCAAAUGCAAUUCAGACAACACAUAAAGGUAAAAAAAAUACCAUAAUUCAAGUUAAUCUAAUUGCCUAAUCGUAGGAUCAAAUAUAUGGUGACUAAUUCAUGCCAUCGCAAACGACAUACACAAAAAUAUACAACAAAAUCUUUACGCAAAAUAAACGCAUCCAAGUCGAAACAUAACCGUAACAAUAUAGCAAAAUAACACGCACGUUUGUUAAAAUUUACAACCAAAACAUGUCAUCAAAGACAACAGACACCACCAAAAUCAGUAAUCUUACAUACCCACCACAAGAUGCCUAAACAUAACAAUAAGCACCAUCAAAAAAAGGCGGGGUUUAGCAUGGGAAAGAAAAGUUGUUUCCUACGGUGGGAAAGUUUUUUUAGACGGUUAGAUUAAAGAAGAACACAAAUUUUAUGAUGGUAUGUCCAGACCAUAUCAUCCAUCAACAUUCUCUCUCUUCCAUUCCCCCCACUCAUGCACUCAACCACCACCACCACACUAUUCAUCUUUCCUCUCAAUCUUAGUUUUCAACACACAGAAGAACACAAAUUCACUACUGAGUUGGAAAAACUGAGGUGUAUUUAAUCAAGAGACCAUUUUUUUUUAUCAUUUCUAUUAUGUAAAUUCGUCAUCAGGUUCGACUUUGUCUUCCCCAAUCAUACCGGAAGUGAUCGGAAACUCUCCCACGGUUGUCUGCCAUGGCUCUCCGACGAAGGUUGUUUAAGGAAACUUUUUUCAAAUCUGAGUUUUUUUUUUUUUUUACAAACAGACAGAGAUGGAAAGGGAGGAGAGAGAGCAAAAGGUGGGGAUGGUGGUUCCUUGAUCUACUUAUUUAUUUGAAGAAAAAAUUGCAGAUCUUUUUUUUAACUGGAUGUUAGUAAAUAAGUAAGUAAUUAGUUUGAAUAAGUCUUAUUUUAGGAACAAUUGGGAGAGGAAAAAUACUUGGUGUGAAUUUGUGUUGUUUCUAUGACUGUGAGCAGUGAAGAAAAUGGGAUUCAUCCUUCCGUGAUAGUGGAUGUGGGUGAAAUUCAAUCUCAUGAGGUUGAAGACUGUAAAAAAGAUAUGGUAUGUGUGGUCUAUGAUUAAAUCAGUGUUCCACUUUAAUCUAACUGUUCAAAAAAACUUUCCCAUGGUGGUAAACAACUUUCAUUUCCCAUGCUAAACUCCACCUCAAAAAAAUGAGUCAUAAAAAAAGACCAAUCAUACAAAAAUUCAAAAACAGUCUAAUCAUUAUAUCACCUAAAGGUGCUAAAGGUACAAAAAUAGCAUUACAAUCAACCCAAGUUCAAAUAAAUUUCACAUAAAGGAACUAAAGUCAUAUCCUAUGUAUUCAAUCUUUUAUCAUUACAUCACCUCAUAGUCAAUUCAACACAAUCUAAUAAACAAUGUUUAUAAAAACUAAAUUGAGUUCUUGACAUCAGAUUUAAAAUAUUCGUAGGACAUGGCUUUAUUGAUGGAAAAAAUACCUAAAAAAACUACUAUAAAAAGUUGAAAGGAGUUGGAAUAACCUUUACAAAGUUGAGGUCAAACUAAAUGACAAAGCCAAAACAUGUAGACCAAAAAAUCAUGUAAAAUUAAAUACCUUACAAACUACAUCAAUAUAUUAAGAAAGGUCAAGAAAAAUUAUGACCAUUAAAAUUCAUGUCAAAAGAAAGGUCAAGAGGAAAAAAAAAAACUUGUAGUCAUUAGGCACUAUAAAAUCAUACAAUAAAACGAAACACUUAUUUAGUCCCAAAUUGACCCUUUAGUUAGCACCAAUAAAAAAAAUUCUUUAGGUUUCAGAUUCUUCAAGUCCCUCUGGUGAGGCUUUGUUCUCCACUUCAUGUGAAUGGCAUUAUUUGAAGGAUUUGAGGAUGAAGAUAACACUUUUAUAGAACUCACAUUGCAUAUUUGUCAACCUUUGCACUGCAAAUGAAACCAAACAACAUAAACAAAUGUGUAAUUUUAAACUCCCUUCUCACACUUACUGCGAAAGAAAUAAGUAUUAUCGGUUAGAAAUGAAAUCAAAUGUGGAAGGCAAAAGUGAAUGAAAAAAGAAAAACAUAGUAGAGCUUGAUUCAACCUCAUGUGCGAGACUGAUAUCAACUGAGAAAGGAAAAAAAUUAGUGAAGUCCAGCAUAAAAGUAUUCCUUUGAAAACAGACAAAAAUUAAUGCUAAGAAAACUUUCAGAUGUUGGAAGCAAAGAAAUCCGUGGAACACCCAUAUAUAAUUUUUUUGCCUCAAAAUAUCCAUCCUUAUUCUUGUCUCACCCCUGUCAAAAUAACAAAUAGAGACGAAAGAGGUGAAAGAUAGCCCCUCACGAAACAACAUAUUAUUUAUUAUAAAUUAGUAGUAAUAGCACGAAUGGUAUAGAACUGCAAACCGCUUGCAAAUGGCAAUGGGGAAAAACUGAGAAAAAGAUCAGAAGAGAGAAUGUUGUAUCAGUUUUGGCAUGACGAUGAAGAUGUGAAAAAGACUAACUGAAAAAAGAAAAGAUAAAGGAAUCAAGAUGUCGUACCAAAAACUAAGCGAUUUGGAGAAUCUGUAUCCUUUGCUGUAAUAAAAUGAUGAUAGUUUCUAACUGCAAAAAUGAAGAGGGUGAUAGAAAUUUGAUGAAUAUCUUUGAAAAUGUGAAAAGCAAAAUUGAAUAGGUGAAACAAUUAACCAAGAAAAGAACAAUAACAAUAAAAUUAAGAAAUAAAGCUAACAUUGGCAAAAUUAAAAGUUCGUUUUAGGGGAGAAACUGUUAACUACAUAUUUAAUCUUAAAGUUAAUCAUUAAUUGUUUUAGUAUGAAACAUAGCGAAAUAAGUAUGUUGGAUUGCCUCAAAAAGUUGCAGCCAGAAUUUUCUAAACCAUUCCUUUGUGAAACUCAUUAGUAUCCCUCAUUGCAAAGGCAACUACAUUUUUUUUUAUAGUAAUGGAAAUAUUGUUGUGAUAUAUAGUGAAUAAUGUUCAUGAGGAAUAAUGCUAGGAUUGGUGUUUUGAUCUACUUUUCUAAUAAUCGCUCAGCUGAAAUGCAUAAAAAACAAACACAUGAUCCCUUCAUAGAAGUAUUAGGUCAAGCCAAAGUAAAAGUUUCUUUGACUGAUGUUAAGCUUUAAAACCUUGUAUCAUUUUCUGACUAUCAUUAUUCUUUAUGACAUCCUCUAAAAAAAUUAUUCUUUAUGAUAGGCCUUGUAAUGUAACUCUAAAAUUUGUAAAAGUGAAACCGUAACAAUUGGAAAAACAGAGAGAAAAUAGGAUUGAGAAGUCCAAAAGAAUGCUUUGAACAAAAAAGGAAAACAAUCGCGACAACAACCAUGAAAGAUAAUGGUUAUUAAGAAAAACAAACCUGAUGUGGACAAAUAGACAUGGAAUGAAGCACCUCUGCAACAAAAAUAGGCCAAAUAGAAAGAACAUGUGAGUUAAUUAUACACAAAAAACAGAAAAAACAAAAAAAAAAAGUAAAAACAGAAACAAUAAAUCAUACUCCCUCCAUUCCUUUUCUUUUGAUGUUUUAGAACUUCAACUAUAUUCCCUUUUGAGUAUAUCAUAAUAAAUGAAGGGAGAAAUUUCGGCAAGAACUUUAUUUUUUUCCCUUUUCAAAAUACUCUGUUAAAUCCACACACAUGACAUGGUUUCUUAGUAAAAUAAAGGGAAAAACAGCAACAAAAUAUAUCCACAUCUGAUUCAUCAAAUUCUAAAUUGCCAAUUUCACUACAUCUGUUUAUCUAAAGAGAACUUGGACCAAUCCAAAUACCAAUCUUGUCUUUAUGGACCAUUUUGACAUUUUACGACCAUCUUGCAAUCAAAAUAAAUCUUAAUUUUAUUCCACUUCAUCAGACAUAGUACCUCAACACAACAUCACUAAUUCCAUUAUACAUCUAAAUCUCUCCCUCACAUACUUAAGUGAAUCUUUACCACUCAACAUCACCAAAUAUUUAAAAAAUUUGCUAGUGCCUGCAUUUAUAUUAUUAAAAGGGCAUGCAAAUUAAAUAUAAUCCCCAAUAUAAGAUAGUAUACCUUAUAAUAUGAUUUGAAGCAAUAAAAAAACAGAAGCAUUAAAAAAACAGCAUCAACAUUAAAAACUGAGAAGACAAACCACAACUACAUAACACUCACCAUCAAUUGAAAAAUUGACAUCUUACAUCCACCUAUAAAAUAAUAGCAUGUCUCAAAUUCGUAUGUUACCUUCAAAUUUGUUGAUUUGCUAAUAGGAAACCAAAUACAACAUCUGAACUGCAAAUAGAAGAGGAUUUAAUCAGGUCAUAACAAAAGAAAAGGGAAAAAAAUAAAUAGGAAUAAUGAAUCAUUAAAAAAUAUUGUAAUUAAGUGGAGAUGUUUGUGUUUUAAGAAGAUGAGGGAGAAAAAAGAAGGUAUUGUUGGAGAAGAUAAGGGGAAAGGAAAAGAAAAACAUAAACCCUUAAAUUAAAACAAACUGGAAAGUCUAUAGACACAACUUUUAAAAACAAAAAAGCAGGUAUAUUCAAGGUCAUAAUCACAUCCACCCAAUGACCAAAAACAAAAUCUUGAAGAAAAUGUUCCAAAUUACAACACCAAAUGACCAAACCAUAAAUCCAAAUUCAUAUCUCAUAAACUAACAAUUUUUACAUGAGCUCGAUUCAAAUUAAUAUGGCCAGAAACUAAAAAAGAAACAAAAACCAUAAGAGUAAGAAGCCAUAAAAUUGAAAUCAACCAGAAACAAAAACCAUAGAAUAAUAAGUCCUAAUCUGGCAAAUCUAUUGGCAUGAAUGAUAACCCAUUUAAUGAAUUCCCAAAACCAAAUAAUAGCGAAUUAACAACCACAUAACAUUUAGGAUGGAAGCAAAUGAAAAUCAAAAUGUUGUAAGGAAUGAAAUAAAAACUCACUUAUGUGGAUUUGGAGAUUACACAAAAUGAGGAAUCUACAAAAACGAAUAAGAUACAACAUUAGCCACUCAAAAACAAAGCUUUGAUUGCUACAAUUUGAAGGUGAAAAACACAAGAAGGGGGGGUUGAAUUGUGUUUUCUUUUUCUCUUAAAAAAUGAUUCUUCUUCUGAUAAAACUUCAGAAGCAGUUUGAUUGCUUCUGAUGAAAUGAUCAGAGUCAGAUUGCAGCGGAAAAGAACAGAGCAGAGAAAAGAAAGACAAAGACACAGGCAGUUAUCCUGGUUCCUUCCACAACACGGAAGUAGUCCAGUCCCCCUUGCACUUCCAAGGAGAUUUCACUAUAAUCACAAGAUUACAACUGCUCAAUACUUUCAAAGUAUGAGACUUCACAAAACAAUGCUCAAGCACACACGCAAGAGUCUUCCAAUGCUCAAGCACUAAGCAAGAGACUUCUAAUGCUCAAGCACGCAGGCAAGAGACUUCUAAUCAAACAAAAAUACAGAGAAUUGAGUUUGAAUUGAACACUUGAUAUACAAUCAGUGGUGUUCACAAUACAAUACAGAAAAGACUCUAGACUUUGAAUUUCUAAGAUGUAUCAAAUCAGUGCAGAAAUUCAGUGUGCUUUUUAGAAUCAAAUUGACAGAGUUUUGGCGCUUUUAAACUUAUGUAUCUCUCUCUAAAAUCUUCAAGUCUUCAUUCCUUUAUAUAGAGGUGUGAAAGAGACGUUGAGAUAAUCAGCACGUCUAAAGAGUCGUUUGAAAUCCUUUGAUUAUCCACCAGUGAUCCUUUGCCUGAUUUGGGUGUAGUCCUUUGAAGAAUAAACUUCAAAUUCAUUCCCAUCUUGAGUGUACAAAUUCUGCAGGCAUGGCUGUUGUUUUGUCUUGUAGCGUAGACAGAAAACAGAGUAGUGGAGGUAGUGGUUGUACACUUGUACUUUGUCAACUCUAUUAAUGAGAGACAAGUGCUCAGUGCUAUCCAUAUAUCCGUUGAUACCUCCCUUUCAAUUCUUCGUUCUUCUUUGAUAAGACUGAAUUGAGAAUCAGCUACUUUGAAUCUUCAGUUUGAUUAAAAGAUCAAAUGUAGCUUCUGGUGAAGAUAUUGCUUCUGAUGAAAACUUUUGCUUCUGAUGACUUUCUGCUUCUGAUGACGUCAUCUCUUCAGGAGCAGUUUAGCUUCAGGAGCAGUUUUCUUCAGAUGCUCAGAAUUUCUUUUUCUUUCCAUUGUUCUUCCAAGACCUAUUGAAAUAACUUGAGUAGCCUUUGGUCCUGUACACUUGAACAAUUAUUAGUAAUAACCAAUUGACAAUUUUUAAUACCUUGUUAUCAUCAAAACUCAAUAAGGUUCAUUGUGAAACACAUUUUGUUCCAACAAUCUCCCCCUUUUUGAUGAUGACAAACAAUAGUAUUUAAAAUGUUCAAUUGUUGUUGAUCUAAUUAAUAAGUUGACUACUGGGACAGAGGUUUGUAAGCUCCCCCUGAGUCUAAUAGAUCUUUAAGGUGAGGUUUGUAAGCUCCCCCUAAGUUCUAUUCUUAUUAAUUAAAUUUCAAUAAAAUACUUAUAAAAUCAAAUCAGAAGUAUUUAAAAGAAAUUUAGAAGAGGUUAUAGUAGGACUCAGUGCCUUAACAAAUACUAUACAUUUACUCCCCCUUUUGUCAUCAACAAAAAGAAUAGAAACAAAAGAAAGAGUAUCAGAGCAAGCAGCAUUAAACAGUAAAUAUCAUCAGAGUUAAAGCUUGUAAAACAUAUUGAAGGUGAAAAAGCACAAGAUCCAGAAACAAUGAUAAUAUAUAUAAAGAAGAUUAAGAUACAAGGACACAGCUACGAAGAACAAAAGUAAAAAACAAGCUAGAGUUGGGUGUGCAACUAAGGUUGGGCUUGCUUAUACAAUUGUUCUAAGAGAUACUUGAUCUGAUCAUCCUUCUUCUGAAGUAGCUCAUCCUUUUCCCUCAUUCUUCGUUUAUAUCCAGCCUGAAUUCUAGCAGCCCUAGUGAUGUACUCUUCUUCUGGAUAGAAAGGAGUGAUGUCCAGCAGAGGCACAAAAUUCAGCUCUUUCUCCUUAGCUGCUUCAUGCAUAUCAUCCAAAAGCUUCUUCAGCAUAGCAGAGUGAGAUGACACACAUUUAGUUCUAAGCUGAUCCAACAGCUCAUCAAAGCUCUUCUGUAGAUCCAUCCACUGAUCAUAAUAGUGAAUAGGAGGUGCAGGAACUGUUCUGCGAAGAAUCAGUGCCUGAAUCUCAUCACUAAGUCUGAUCAGUUGUUCCUCUAUAUACUCAGACUCCAGGAUAUGGUCAGGGAUGGGUGAAGGUUCAGUUUGAGUUGUAUUUGAUGUGGAAGGUUGGUCAGAGGUUAAGUCUAUUAUAGUGGGUGAAUCUGGUUGUUGUUGUUGUUCUGUUGUUUGGUCAGAAGUUGUUUGGUCAGGAGCAACUUGUUCAGAAGCAGUUUGCUCCUGAACAGUUUGCUCAGGGAUGGUUUGGAUUUCUGUUUGGGUUUCCAAGACAGUCUUUUCAGAAACUGUCUUAGAGGCCUUAGUGGGUGUUGGUUGCAUUUCACCACCUAGAUGUUUUUCUAAGUUGUGAAGGGUUGAGGAUUCUUGGUGUUGGGGGGUUUCUGAAGUAGUUGCAUCUGAAGCUACUUCAGAGGCUUUUUGUGGAGAUUGGUUAUUUGGUGAGUUUGUUUGGGUAGGUUCAGGUUGUUGUAUACUAACAGGUUCUGGAGUAUCUGGAUAUAGUGGAUGAGUAGUAGGCAAAUUGAAUUUCUCACAAAGUUUUAUCCUAUUUUUUGAAAAUUCUAUUUGAGUACUCUCAUAGUCAAGUGUUCCAUACUCUGUUAGUUUGGUAGGUUUGGUUUUUAGAAGCUUGUUUAUAUGUUGGCUAAGGGGUUGGUCAUCUGAUUCUGUGGAUGAUGAAGAGGGUGAAGAGGGUAGAGAUAGAGACUGAGUAUUAGUUGGAGCUUUAGAUGGAUUACCUGAGGACUGAGCUUCUGGAUGAAUUGCUUCUGGAGCUGUUGAAACUGGAUCUGAUGAAGUUGCUCCUGAAGCUUGCUUAUUCUUCAAGGCUUGAGAAAGCAGAGUUGCUCCAUACUGAACUGUUUCUAACUCAGACGCUAAAGCAGCAAUGUCAGGAGUAGGCACAUACCCUGCAGCCUUGAGACGCUCAUCCCUUUCUUUCUCAAACACUUCCUUCAACCUUUUCUUUUCUGCUAUCUUGGAUGCAGAAACCUCUCUAGCGUACUGCCUCAUUUCUUCAGUCAUUUCAAAACUGGGCAUGACUAUGGGCUCAGAAGUUGCAGUCCUUUUUGCCUUCUUGGGGCUUGAGUCUUCAUCCCAGUUCUCUUCCAGUUCUUUCAACAUUUCUUCCCUUCUUCCUUCAGCUGUCUUCAGAUUUCUUGUUAAAUUAGACCUCUUCCUUUGGAUGGUCUGAAGAGCAGCUUCUCUUUUAUUUUUGGGACUUGAAGGCUUUUCAGAAGCAGCUUGAUCAGAAGCAGCUUGUUCAGAACCAGCUUGUUCAGAAGCAGGCUGUUCUGUUGUUUCUUGAGUACUCCUUGUCCUUUUUCUGAUAAGAGGGACAUCAUCCAAAUCCUCCACUUCCUCAAGAAUGGUGGACAUAGCAGAUUUUUCCUUCUUAGCUUUCUUAUGCUUCUGAGCACCCACCUCAGUAGCAUCUUCAGCAAGGUAUUCUUCCUUGGUGAUCUGCUUCUUUUUAGAUUUUCUGCCUUUGGCCACAGGCAGAUCACUACCAUACAUUUCUUCUGGGAUAUCUUUCAGGCUGAUUUUCUUGUUGUAGCUCUUGUAGUAGUCCAAGAUGUAGGCCCUCUGCACAUCCAGGGGAUCUUUCUUGCAGAUAGGGAUGUGAUGAGUGACUAGAUCAGAUAUGACAUCAGAUUCAUGCAUAUCUGUAUCUAGUUUCUUGCAAGUUGAAAUCAGCCUCAUCUUGACUAGAGUUGCCCCAUUGAUUAUUUUUCCUGUGACUGCUCCCAGCUUCUGAUUAUCAUAAAUACCCACGUCUUUCAGGGCACUUAGGAGUCCUCCUUCUUGAAAGAUUAUGGAGAGCAGCCUUCCAUAGGGAACAAACUUCCUGUUCUCCAUCUGGCUCUUCUUGAGUUCCUUGAUCAUGUAUUUAAACAUAUACUUGGGAACAUUCAUUGUUGUUUCCUGAGAGAUGGUGUGAUGCAGAAAGACUUUGUGACCAAGUGAAGGUUGAUCAUUUCCUCCACCUUUGGGAAAAAUGUUUUCAUUUUGGAUCUUCAGCAGCAUUUUCUUUUCCAUGCUUAAGGUGCUGUAAGGCUUAGCAUCCUUUGAUCCGUAGAUAGUGUUGUUUACUAUCUCCUUCCAUGGGCUUGUUCUGGGGUUAGGAAUCUCUUCUCCAUCGUAUGUCCCAGAAGCAUCCCUUCUCAUGGCUUGAGCAAUCACAUGCUCAUUGAUUGUUACAGGAAUCCCCAUGACGUUUGAUCUAAUCUCAGUCCCAGUGAAGGCGAGUAGACCCAUUUCUUCUCUGGUUUUUCCCUCCAAAGUAGGAUCAACCAGAAUCAUCUGAGCUUCUUCCUGUUUAGCAGCAACUUUGUCAAACACUGAAGCUCUUACCCAGAAUUGUCUGACAAACACUUCAUAAGUAGGACCGUUGAGAAGACUGAAGUAACUCAUCAGCUUCUGCUUUUUGUAGAAUCUUACCAAGUCGCAUCCAUGAUGAGUUAGAGAAGUGAAAUCCACUGGAUUUUCCGCUUGAAUGAUUAGAUCCCAUUCCUCAAUCGACAUAGUUCUUCCUUUGAUUUCAUAAGCAGGAGUAUCUAUAUCCAUAUUCGAUGAAGAACCACCGGCAGAACUUGAAGAUGCCAUUGAUUUUAAGUAGAAUUAGGGUUCUAAGGUGUUUUGAGAGGUUGAGAGAAUGUGCUUACUUACACAGAGGGUUGAGAAGAAAUUAGAAAGUGUUUGUUGUGAAGUGAGAAGUGUGUGAAAUGACUUAGUGUUUUUUAUUAAAACGUUUGUAAUUCAGAAGGGACAAACAAACACAGCAUUAAUGACAAAUUGGGGGCGCGUGUAAGUAUGUUAAAAAGCGAAUAAAACAUCAUUGCCCUUUUUGUUAUACUCCAAUACAAAUAGACCACGUCAGAGACUCUUCAGAAAACUACUUUUUGGGUAAUGGGACAGCUGUUUACAUAAAGUAACUACCAACGUUCCCACUAACCAAGCUAUUCAGAAGCAAAGAAUAACACUUCUGAAGUUUUAGUGCUGACGUCAUCUUCAGAAGCACAUUUUCCUCAGAACCUCAGUUAAGAGCUUCUGAUGAACCAAAAUGCUCCUGAAUAAACUUCAGAACCAAACUUCUUAUUCAGAGGCAAGCAAUUUUUCAAUCAGACACAAAAUGCAUGUUCAAAUUUUUCUUAAUAAAAUCAAAUCUUUCAACAGACAAAGGUUUUGUAAAUAUAUCAGCCCAUUGAUGUUCAGUAUCAAUGAAUUGUAUAUCUAAAAUUCCUUUUUGAACAUAGUCUCUGAUAAAAUGGUGUUUGAUUUCAAUAUGCUUGGCUCUUGAAUGUAGAAUUGGAUUCUUUGACAAACAAAUAACAGCAGUAUUAUCACAAUAAAUGGGAAUACUGUUAGCAUUGAUCUGAUAGUCUUCCAACUGAUGUUUCAUCCAAAGUAGUUGUGUGCAACAACUUGCAGCUGAAAUGUACUCUGCUUCUGCUGUAGACAUAGCAAUAGUUGCUUGUCUUUUGCUUGCCCAGGAUAUCAGAUUCUCUCCCAGGAAUUGACAAUUUCCACUGGUUGAUUUUCUUUCAAUCCUAUCACCAGCAUAAUCAGCAUCACAGAAUCCAAUCAACUUAUAAUCUAGGGAUUUCCUAUACAGGAGUCCAAGAUUAGUUGUUCCUUUCAGAUACCUGAAGAUUCUCUUAACUGCAGUUAAAUGAGAUUCUCUAGGAUCUGAUUGAAAUCUUGCACACAAGCAUACACUGAAUAAAAUAUCAGGUCUAGAUGCAGUGAGGUAUAACAGAGAACCAAUCAUACCUCUGUAUAGCUUCUGGUCUACUACUGUUCCAGUAUCUUCUUUGCUUAAGGUGCAGGUUGGAUGCAUUGGAGUGUUCAUCACUUUACAAUCUUCUAGCUUGAACUUCUUCAGAAGCUCCUUUGUAUAUUUUGUUUGAUGAACAUAUACUCCUUCUUUACUUUGGUUGAUUUGAAUUCCCAGAAAGAAUUUCAAUUCUCCCAUCAUACUCAUUUCAAAUUCAUCCUGCAUUAACUUAGAAAAUUCUUUGCAAAGAGAUGCAUUAGUAGAACCAAAUAUUAUAUCAUCAACAUAUAUUUGCACAAUCAAAAUAUCUUUCUUAAGAGUCCUUCUGAAGAGUGUUGUGUCAACUUGUCCUCUUUCAAAAUCAUUUUUAAUUAAGAAAUUACUUAGUCUAUCAUACCAAGCUCUGGGAGCUUGUUUCAAGCCAUAUAGUGAUUUCUUAAGUUUAUAAACAUGGUCAGGAUGCUUAAGAUCCUCAAACCCAGGAGGUUGUUUAACAUACACUUCUUCUUCAAUGACACCAUUAAGAAAAGCACUUUUGACAUCCAUUUGAUAUAAUAUUAUGCCAUGAUUAAUUGCGUAGGAUAGAAGUAACCUGAUUGCUUCCAAUCUUGCAACUGGAGCAAAUGUUUCAGUGUAAUCAAUGCCUUCUUGUUGACUGUAGCCUUGAGCAACAAGUCUGGCUUUGUUUCUGGUUACUUCUCCUUGUUCAUUCAGCUUGUUUCUGAAUACCCAUUUUGUUCCAAUAAUGUUCUUCUGAGAAGGUUUGGGUACCAGAUCCCACACAUCAUUCCUUUGGAAUUGAUUUAGCUCUUCUUGCAUAGCUAAUAUCCAUCCAUCAUCUGAGAGAGCUUCUUCAACAGUUUUAGGCUCAAUUAUUGAAAGCAGUCCUAUUAAAGACUCUUCUUGUCUAAAAUGUGAUCUUGUUCUUCUAGGACUAUCUUUGCUUCCAAUGAUUAACUCCUCAGGAUGUGAAGAUUUGUGCUUGAAUUUAGGUUGAAUAACCUGCUGAGUGUUAUCUUGAAAGUCCUCAGAAGCACUUUCAUUCUGUACUUUUGGGCUAGGUUCUGCUUCUGAAUUAGACUCAGCUUCUGGAGUGAUUUCAGCUUCUGGACAAGAUUCAACUUCUGUAUACUUUUCAGAAUCAGAAGGUUGAUCAGAUUCUGAUGCAUCUUCAGAAUCAGUUGUACCUGCAUUACUUUCACUUUGCUCUGAAGUUUUACUUCCAGGCUCUCUAUCAUCAAAUUUUACAUGCAUAGAUUCUUCAACACAUUGUGUUUCUGAAUUAUACACUCUGUAUGCCUUUGACCUUUCAGAGUAACCUAAAAAGAUUCCUCUUUGAGCCUUGGCAUCAAAUUUCUUCAGAUAGUCUUUAGUGUUUAAGAUGUAACAAGUACAUCCAAACUGAUGAAAGUAAGAGAUAUUGGGUCUUCUUCCUUUAAAGAGUUCAUAUGCUGUUUUCUCCAACAUAGGUCUGAUAUAGAUCCUAUUUUGAAUAUAACAUGAAGUAUUGACUGCUUCUGCCCAAAAAUGUUUAGCUAAGUUGUUUUCAUGGAUCAUGGUUCUGGCCAUUUCUUGUAAGGUUCUGUUCUUUCUUUCUACAACCCCAUUUUGUUGUGGAGUUCUAGGAGAAGAAAACUCAUGGAGAAUCCCAUGUUUUUCACAAAAAAGUUCAAAUGGCUCAUUUUCAAAUUCUCCACCAUGAUCACUUCUGACUUUCAAAAUUUUCAAUUCUUUUUCAGAUUGUAUUUGAGUGCAGAAGCUGCUAAACACUUCACAUGCAUAGUCUUUACUUUUAAUGAAUUUUACCCAAGUCCAUCUGCUGUAAUCAUCAACAAUGACUAAUCCGUAUUUACUUCCAUAUAAAGAUGCAGUGUUAACUGGACCAAAAAGAUCAAUAUGGAGUAAUUCUAAGGGUCUGGAGGUUGAUACAAUGUCUUUAGAUUUGAAAGAACUUUUCACAAUUUUCCCUUUCUGACAUGCACCACAAAGUGCAUCUGAAUGAUAAUCAAUGUUAGGCAAUCCUUUGACCAGUUGUAACUUGCUAAUUUUAGAAAUUAAUCUCCAAUUAGCAUGUCCCAACCUUUUAUGCCAUACCCAUUUUUUAUCAUUCAUUGACAGAAGGCAAACUACCUUCUGAUCAGCCAGAUCAGAGAAAUUUAUUUUAUAGACAUUCUCAACUCUCUUUCCCUUGAAUGUAAUGGAUUUGUCAUCCUUGUUGACUAGUGUGCAGUUGGUCUUACUGAACGUUACAUCAUACCCAUUGUCACAAAAUUGACUAAUGCUCAAUAGGUUAUGCUUCAGACCAUCUACUAGCCACACAUUAUUAAUUGAGAUGGAGGAAUUACCAAUAGUACCUGUACCAAUGAUCUUUCCAGUUUGGUUGCCACCAAACUUCACUUCUCCUCCAUCUUUCAUUGUAAGGGUAAGGAACAAAGCUUUCUCUCCAGUCAUGUGCCUUGAACAUCCGCUGUCUAGGUACCAUGACCUUUGUUUCUCUCUUGCCCUUAAGCACACCUGCAUUUUUGGCCAAUUCAGAUUUAGGUACUCAUAUCUUCAUGGGUCCUUUUGGGUUAGUUUUGGAGGUUUUACUUUUCCUCCCUUGUACCUUAGGGUGAAUGCUGAGUGGCUUCUGAUCAUUCAAUACUUUAGGUUUGACACCUUUUGGUAUUGUUUUCUCAGAAGCAGUAGCUGCUUUGUUCUUCUGAUCCUUUUGUUUUGGAAUUUUAGAUUCUGGUUUAAUCAGAUUCUGAUGAACAGGUUCUGAUCUUUUCAGAAUUUUAAUCUUUUGACUCUUAGGAUCAGAUUUUGUCAUUACCUUGAUCUUAAGAUUCUCUGGCUUUGAUGUGAUCUUAGCCUGUGAACCUGAAGCUUCAGGUUUUGACUGAACAGCAGUUAUAGCAUUUGUACCUUCAGGCACAAAGGUGGAUUUCAAUCCAUCCUUGAUACAAUCACAGUAGCUCUUGAGACUGUAUUCUUUGGAUUUCUCCUCAGAAUAUCCAAUCCCUUUGCCUUUGUUCUUGUAUGUGCUGUAGAUCAUAGAAGCAACUUUGCUUCUGUCUAUUCCAGCCAUAAUAAAAUCAUCCAAGGCAAUCUCAUGUUUAUUGCCUGAACCUUUAUCACAUUUUUCUUGUAGCUUCUGACAAAGACUCUUGAGUCUAUCUUCAUAUGUUGUUGAUAUGAGGUUAAACCCUUUGAGUUCUUCUUCAGAAGCUUUCAGUUCCAAUAGAGUUGAUUUUUGUUGUUUCAUCAAAUCAACAUAUUUUUCUUUUAAAUCUGUCAACUCAUUGGUUCUGUGUUCAAACAGUGAUAAAAGUUCUUUUAGAGAAUCAACAAGUUCUUGUCUAGGGAUUUUGGAAUAUACCUCAUUUUCAUCUUCUGAAUCUGAUUCAGCUUCUGAUACUGCUUCUGAUGAUACUGUUGCCACUAACCCAACGGCUGCCUUAGCAUCAUCAUCAGCUUCUUCUUUAUCAGAACCAGAUUCACUAUCCAAAUCUUCCCAGGUCGCCAUCAAGCUCUUUUUGAUUUGCUUUCUGAAUUUACUGGAGUUGAAGCUUGAUUUCUUGGAUUUGCCUUUAAACUUCUCCUUCUGAAGAUCAGGGCAAUCAGCAAUGAAAUGACCAGGCUUCUUACAAUUGAAGCAUCCCUUCUGAUCUUCUUUCUUGAAGUUCUUGUAGCUACCUCUCUUGCUCAAAAAUUUCUUCUGCUUCCUUGCCAGAUACUCAAGCUUGUUGGACAGCAUAGCCAUCUUUACAGAUUGAUCUUCAUCAGAAUCUCCAUCAGGUGAUUCUUCUUCAGAUUCACUGGCUUUGUAGGCUUUGGAAGACUUUGAGGUCUUUCCUUUAGAUGGUAAAGCAAUGGAUUUACUCUUCUUAGAGGUUUCAUGCUCAUUUAAACUCAUUUCAUGCACUUUGAGUGAGCUAACAAGAUCUUCAACACUUAAAGUAUUUAGAUCCUUAGCUUCCUCAAUAGCAGUUACUUUGGGUCUCCAUCUUGAAGGUAAGCUUCUCAAAAUCUUACUAACAUGAUCAGAAGCAACAUAGCUUUUCUUCAGUAUCUGCAAUCCAGAAACUAAAGUUUGAAAUCUUGAGUACAUUUCUUCUAUACUCUCAUCAUCCUUCAUUCUGAAAAGUUCAUACUGAUGAACUAGCAUCAAAGCUUUAGCCUCUUUUACUUUCUUGCUGCCUUCAAAGUUUGCACAUAGAGAAGCAAACAUAGCCUUCGCAGUAGAUUUGUCACUCAUUUUCAUGUAUUCGGUGCGAGGUAUAGAAGCCACAAUGAUUCCUCUUAUCUUGUGAUGUUUCUUAUAAAGCUUCUUCUGAGCAGGAGUAUGUAUUCUUCUGUCUAUAGCAGCUCCUUCUUCAUCCAAAUCCAGAUCAUCAACUCCAUCUUCCAGUAUAUCCCAUAGCUCUUCAUCCAAUCCCAUGAUAAAGCUGUACAUAUUAGUUUUCCACCAUGAAAACUCUUCUGGAUCUCCAUUAAACUUUGGAGCUUUUCCAGAGUCUGUUUUCUUGUCAGCAGUAUCAUAGUCAUGCUUGACACUUGUGUAUUUUGUAGUAACUGAUUCCUCAUCUCCAGACAUGUUUUUCUAAUAGAUCUUGAACUGUAACACGGUUAAGUGCUGUGAUAACAGAGCAAGCUCUGAUACCAAUUGAAGGUGAAAAACACAAGAAGGGGGGGUUGAAUUGUGUUUUCUUUUUCUCUUAAAAAAGGAUUCUUCUUCUGAUAAAACUUCAGAAGCAGUUUGAUUGCUUCUGAUGAAAUGAUCAGAGUCAGAUUGCAGCGGAAAAGAACAGAGCAGAGAAAAGAAAGACAAAGACACAGGCAGUUAUCCUGGUUCCUUCCACAACACGGAAGUAGUCCAGUCCCCCUUGCACUUCCAAGGAGAUUUCACUAUAAUCACAAGAUUACAACUGCUCAAUACUUUCAAAGUAUGAGACUUCACAAAACAAUGCUCAAGCACACACGCAAGAGUCUUCCAAUGCUCAAGCACUAAGCAAGAGACUUCUAAUGCUCAAGCACGCAGGCAAGAGACUUCUAAUCAAACAAAAAUACAGAGAAUUGAGUUUGAAUUGAACACUUGAUAUACAAUCAGUGGUGUUCACAAUACAAUACAGAAAAGACUCUAGACUUUGAAUUUCUAAGAUGUAUCAAAUCAGUGCAGAAAUUCAGUGUGCUUUUUAGAAUCAAAUUGACAGAGUUUUGGCGCUUUUAAACUUAUGUAUCUCUCUCUAAAAUCUUCAAGUCUUCAUUCCUUUAUAUAGAGGUGUGAAAGAGACGUUGAGAUAAUCAGCACGUCUAAAGAGUCGUUUGAAAUCCUUUGAUUAUCCACCAGUGAUCCUUUGCCUGAUUUGGGUGUAGUCCUUUGAAGAAUAAACUUCAAAUUCAUUCCCAUCUUGAGUGUACAAAUUCUGCAGGCAUGGCUGUUGUUUUGUCUUGUAGCGUAGACAGAAAACAGAGUAGUGGAGGUAGUGGUUGUACACUUGUACUUUGUCAACUCUAUUAAUGAGAGACAAGUGCUCAGUGCUAUCCAUAUAUCCGUUGAUACCUCCCUUUCAAUUCUUCGUUCUUCUUUGAUAAGACUGAAUUGAGAAUCAGCUACUUUGAAUCUUCAGUUUGAUUAAAAGAUCAAAUGUAGCUUCUGGUGAAGAUAUUGCUUCUGAUGAAAACUUUUGCUUCUGAUGACUUUCUGCUUCUGAUGACUUUCUGCUUCUGAUGACGUCAUCUCUUCAGGAGCAGUUUAGCUUCAGGAGCAGUUUUCUUCAGAUGCUCAGAAUUUCUUUUUCUUUCCAUUGUUCUUCCAAGACCUAUUGAAAUAACUUGAGUAGCCUUUGGUCCUGUACACUUGAACAAUUAUUAGUAAUAACCAAUUGACAAUUUUUAAUACCUUGUUAUCAUCAAAACUCAAUAAGGUUCAUUGUGAAACACAUUUUGUUCCAACACAAUUUUCCAAAAUAAAAAAGUGAAUAGAAUAAAAUAUUUCUCUGACAAAUACUCCUCAAAAUAUAAAGAUUACCCAUGAGAGUGUUUUUGUCUACUUGUGGAUUCAACUUCACUCAUUCAUCUAUAAUUUCUUUCUACUUCCUGCACAUGACAAUAGUAUCUUCAAUAAUCGGAGAACAUCAUUGGAUAAUGUUUACUCAGCUGAUUUAUGUUCCUCCCUAUGUCAGUUUAUUGCACGAAUUAAAAACAAAUUAUCAUCAAAGCAAAAAUAGCAAUUGACACAAACAUUUCAAAGUUGAAAAUAACCAUUUCAAUAUCCACCAGAUUUUGCAGCAGCUCCAACAAAAAUCUUCAACCUGAAAAUUAAAUUAAGAAAUUAUCUUAAGCAAGGUUCUUAUUUCAUUUCUAAUAAUUUAGUACUAAUACUAAUAACAAACAUUAAAAACUAAACCUGUCAAGGAUAUCUUCUCAUCUUCAUCCUCAUCAUUUCCUUGAGACUGUAGUGUUGGAGGAUAGGAACUUCCAUGGCGCUGCCAAUCUCAGUGCUCCCAUUCGAAGGUGAUGCCGUAUCAGAAGUUUAUUGCAACGAAGAGGAAGAUAAAAUAAAACUCUUUGUAGAUCUGAAACUUUAAUGUAAAUGGAGGGAAGGAGAAGACAAAGAAUGGUUGGAAGAGAGAUAUGUGUGGAGAGUGAACUAAUUUUGCAGAUCCUUUUUUGUACUUUGUUACCCAAUCUGUUUCAGCAACCAUGCAUCAAAGUAAAGAGAGAAUGAAGAUGAGUAGAUCCGCAGAGAAUGAGGGGAGGAGAAGAGAAACAAUGGUUUGGAAAGAGAGAGAUGUGUGAAGUCUUUCUAUUCUCUCUGAAAAGCUGAUCUAUGGGGUUUUGAAAAUCCAAAUAAACCCCUAUGGUUUGUAUAGAGUAUAGACGCUCCUCCCUCCCUUCAACCAGAAAUCAGCCAUUGUCAGAUCGAAUAAAUUUUUUACCUGAGAAAAACUGAAACCCUGACACAAAGGGGAAAUUUUCCACAUCUCUGAGCAAAAGGGGCAAAAGAACACAGCGAAUUGGAAAAAAUCGCAGCUGCGCACAGCCUAUAACAACUGAUGAGUUACUGGUAGACCAACGCAGACGUAAAAAAAGCUGUAAACACCGAAUCAAAUAGGACAAAGUGAAAAUCUCACAAACCAGGGUAAAAAAAGCAGAGCGUUUGUAAUCCACGAAGGGCUGAGAAGGCAGGAAUCAGCUUGUAGUUGAUAGAACAGGGAAAAUUUGCGCUUCUGCUUUAGAAGUAUAGAUUUCAGCCGUCCGAUGAAUCCAACGCCGGGACAAAAAUAAAGAAAGAAGAAAAGUUAGGUACAAUUCCUUACGUGCUUUUCGUAUGUUUCUUAACUAAAUUCACCUCAAAUCCAUAAUUUUCUCAAAGUUUGUUAUAUAAAAAAAAAUAUGUAUUCAUCUAGUCCAAAAAGAAAUCCUUGAAAAUUACGAACCAAAACUUCAUACGAAAUGCAGCUAAGGAAUUGUACCUAAUUUUCUCCAUAAAGAAAUACUACCUCCGUCUCUAUAUAAGACCCUUUUGCUAUUAAGAAAGUGAAUAUUUAAUAUUAAAGUUGUUUGUAAGUACCGUUGUUUUUACAAGUUUAUCCUUAAGAGAGAGAGUUAGUUUAUGUUUUCCAUAUGCUACUAGUAACAUACUCGUGCUGACGCACGGGUACAGUAACCAUUUGUUGUUUAAAAGAGUCUGAUUUUCUUUUUAAUGGUUGUUAUAUAUUAUUAUUUAAAAAUUUGAUGUAAUAUUUUAUUUUAGGUUUUGAAAAUGUUAAUAUAACUUCUUUACAUGUGAUGGGCAGUUAUUUCUCUAUAAUGAUUGUUACAUUUUGCAGAAUAUGAUAAUGCACAUUAAAAUAUAAUACAAUUUUUACAUAACAUAAGUUUAUUUAAAUUUGUUAAACUUGAAACGUAAACAGUGUUAUAAUAUUUGAAUAUAAUGGAAAAUGAGAUAUUGUGUGUAUAUUUUAAGUCUUUAUAGAUAUUAAAAAUAAUAUCCAACAGUUUAUUAUAAUAUUACAACUUUUGCUCAAAAAAAAAAAUUACAACUUGUCAUGUAAUAUUAUAAAUAGUUUAACAUCAUUUUAUAAUUGAAUUGAGGUGAUGAUAUUAUAAACAGUUUAAAUGUUUUAGCAUGAACAAUUUUUAUAAAGGACAACUUGUUGUGUAAAUCAAAGUUAGUUUAGUCAAUGAUAAUAUAUCUUGUGUAUUUUAUUUUAUUUUUCUGAAAGAUUAGUCAAUGUUCAUUUAUCCCGUGGAUUUUAGUUUAUGAGGGUUCAAUAUCAUUAUAGAAUUGAAGUGAGGUGACAUGAAACAUUUUAGCAAAACCAAUUUUUUAUAAAUAUCGUUUAUCAAAGUUAGUUUAGUUAGCGACAACUUGUCUCGUGCAUUUAUGUUACUUUUGAAAUUUUAGUCAAUGACCACUUAUCCGAUGCAUUUCAGUUAUCUAUGAAAUUUUAUUCAAUCUCUGUUUAUCUUGAGCAUUUUAGUUGAUAAGUGUUCAAUAUCGUUGUAGAAUUGAAUUGAGGUGAUGAUGUUAUAAAUAGUUUAAAUGUUUUAGCAGGAACAGUUUUUAUAAAGGACAACCUAUUGUGUAAAUCAAGGUUAGUUUAGUCAUUGAUAAUUUAUCCCUUGUAUUUUAUUUUAUUUUUCUCAAAGUUUAGUCAAUGUUCAUUUAUCCCGUGCAUUUUAGUUUAUGAGGGGUCAAUAUCAUUAUAGAAUCAAAGUGAGGUGACAUUAUAAACAACAGGAACAUUUUAGCAAGACCAAUUUUUUAUAAAUAUCGGUUAUCAUAGUUUGUUUAGUUAGCGACAGCUUAUCUCGUGCAUUUAUGUUACUUUUGAAAUUUUAGUCAAUGACCACUUAUCUGAUGCAUUUCAGUUAUCUACGAAAUUUUAUUCAAUCUCUGUUUAUCCUGUGCAUUUAAGUUGAUAAGUGUGCAAUAUCGUUGUAGAAUCGAAUUGAGGUGGUGAUGUUAUAAAUAGUUUAAACAUUUUAACAGAACAAUUUUUAUACAGGACAACUUGUCGUGUAAAUAAAGGUUAGCUUAGUCAAUGAUAAUUUAUCCCGUGUAUUUUAUUUUUUUCUGAAAGUUUAGUCAAUGUUCGUUUCUCCCGUGCAUUUUAGUUUAUGAGGGUUCAAUAUCAUUAUAGAAUUAAAGUGAGGUGGCAUCAUAAACAACAUGAACAUUUUAGCAAAACCAAUUUUUUCUAAAUAUUGUUUAUCAAAGUUAGUUUAGUUAGCGACAACUUCUCUCGUGCAUUUAUGUUACUUUUGAAAUUUUAGUUAAUGACCACUUAUCCGAUGCAUUUCAGUUUUCUGCGAAAUUUUAUUCAAUCUCUGUUUAUCCUGUGCAUUUUAGUUGAUCAGUGUUCAAUAUCGUUGUAGAAUUGAAUUGAGGUGAUGAUGUUAUAAAUAAUUUAAAUAUUUUAGCAUGAACAGUUUUUAUAAAGGACAACUUAUUGUGUAAAUCAAGGUUAGUUUAGUCAAUGAUAAUUUAUCCCGUGUAUUUUAUUUUAUUUUCUGAAAGUUUAGUCAAUGUUUAUUUAUCCCGUGCAUAUUAGUUUAUGAGGGUUCAAUAUCAUUAUAGAUUUGAAGUGAGGUGAUGUUAUAAAUAGCAUGAACGUUUUAGCAAGACCAGUCUUUUAUAAAUAACAAUUGGUUAUGUGUAUAAAAGUUAGUUAAUCAACGACAACUUAUUCUGUACAUUUAUUAAUUAAUUGUAAAUUUCUUUUUAUGAUAGUUUUUAAAAUUUCCGCCACACCACACGCACUACUACCACACUUCAACUCUAUACACAUUAUCACUCUCUUUCUAUUAUUCAAAUUCCGAAAUCCUCACACGUCUCACAUAUCAAUGACAUUUUGACUAUAUAUAUUAUGACUUGUACUGUGCAUAAUAAUAAUUUUUUAUUUUUACCAUGGACAAUUCUACCUAUGUAUAAUAUUUAUUUAAAAAUUUGUAUCCCUGACGACUUGUCCUAUAUAUAACAGUUAGUUUAAAAUUUAUAUAAUUGUUGACUUGUAUUGUACGUUAUAAUUAUUCUAAUUUUAUGUUAUUGACAACAUCUCAUGUGUAUAAUAAUAGAUUUUUAAAUUUUCAACAGUGACAUUGUCUAUAAUCCUUAAAAAAAAACUUAUAUCGUCUAUAACAAUUAUGCUAAAAAAUUUAUCAGUGUCGAUUUGACCUGUGUCAAAUAAUUAUUAAAUUUGAACAUUGAACACUUAUCAAGUGUGAAAUAAAGAUUUUAAAAUUUAUAUCAACGUCGAUUUGUCUUUUGUGUUAUAACUAUUUUAUUUUAUUUUAUCAAAAACAACCUGACUCAUGUAUAAUAAUUAUUUUAUAAUAUGUAGCUUAAUAUUUAUUUUGGACAUUUAAUCAAUACAAUCCCGUGUAUGUGUUUAACGGUGAUGAUAAUUAUUUCUAUAUUUUUAUUUGUGACGACUUGUCUAUUAUAUAAUAAUUAUUUUAAAUUUUCAACAAUGACAACUUCUUCUAUAUAUAAUAUUUGUUUUGAAAAUUUGUGAGACUCACGACUUGUCCAAUGUAUAAUAAUCAUUUUAAAAUUAUAUUAUUGGUGAAUAGUCACAUGUAUGACCGUAGUUUUAAAUUUUUUAUCAAUAACUAAUAUGAGCAAAAAUAUUGGUGAAUAGUCACAUGUAUAACCAUAGUUUUAAUAUUUAUUUUUUUUUGAGAAAAAUAAUUUUGAAAUUUAAAUAGUUAAAUAUAUUAUUUUUAUAAUUUUAAUAUUUUUAAAUAGUUAAAUAUAUAAUAAAAAUUAAUUGAGUGGUAUUAAUUUUGAAAGAGAAGAUAACGACUUCUCUCUCUCCCGUAUACCGUAUAUUUGAAAGGGAAUUUUUAUUUAUUUUUUUGUCAAAAUUUUAAAAGGAACUUUAAAAAAAAAUAUUGAGAUAAAAAAGUUUUGUUUUUAAAUGAGUUAAAAGAAAAUAAGAGGAAUCUUGAAAAUUAGUAAUUUUGAGAUCUGUGUUGUCUAACACUUUCGUUGUUUCUUUGUAAAUUUUUACCACGUUUGACCCCAUCACUCCAUACAAAACUCAAAUGUUUAGGAUGCUUUAGAGUUCAGACCAUGUUUUUGACUGCCUAUUAACUGAAAUUGUCACUAUAGCACCUAAAUAUAUACACAAUACUUCUUCUUUUGCAUCUACUACAUCAAUGGAGUGCAAUUUUUUCUCAAACUUCAUACAUACAACAACAACAACAAAAACAACAUAAGAGACACUAAAAGAUAAGUAUCAGAUCUGUGUAAUUUCUUCUCAACUUUAUGCAUGCAACAAGAAAAACAACACCAUAAGUGACUAUAUGUAUCAGAUCUGGUUUGGAUUUGAGAUUUUUUUAAUAAAUAAGUUUCACAAGUAUUGAAACUGUAGAUCAAUCAUUUAUAAUCGAAGUCCUUCAAAAGUAGAUAUUAGUGACAACUUUCGCCCAUGUAUAAUAAUAAUUUUUAAAGUUAACAAUGACAACUUAUUUCGUGUAUAAUAAAUAUUUUACAAUAUAAUCCCUCAAAAAAAUAUUUUAUAAUAUAUAUAAGUGAUUUUCUUCAAAAAAAAAAUAUAUAUAAGUGAUGACAUGUCACAUGGUUAAUAAUUAUUUUGAAAUUUAUAUGAGUGACGACUUGUUUAUUAUGUUCUAAUUUUUUUUAAAAAAAUUAAUUACAGAUAAUGGUCAUGUAUAACUAAUUUCCACUAAUAACUGUAGACUAAUUUAUUUAUUUUGCUGGACUUCGUUUUUUAGAUAUUGUUAGAAGAUUUAGAUGUUAGUAGAUUUGUAUCAGUGACAAUUUCGCCAUAAUAAUAAUAAUUAUUUUUUUUUUUAAGUUAACAAUAACAACUUGUUUCAUGUAUAAUAAAUAUUUUAUAAUAUAUAUAUAUCAGUGAUGACAUGUCAUAUGGUUAAUAAUUAUCUUAAAAUUCAUAUCGGCUAAAACUUGUGUGUUAUAAUUAUUUUGAAUUUGUACUCAAUGAUAACAAAUGUUGUGUAUAAUUAUAUUAUUUUUUUAAGUUAGUUUUUCACUUACAUUAUGGUUUGAAAAAAAAAAGAGAAUAAUGUUUUUUUGAAGGAAGGAGAAUAAUGUUUAAUAAUAUAUAUCAGUGUAUCUCUUGUCUCGUGUAUAAUAAUUAUUUUAUAAUAUAUAUCAGUGAUGACAAAUCAUAUGUUCAAUACUUAUGUCCUCGUGAGCUUAGCUCAGUUAGUUUGGAUAAUGCAUAAUAUAUCCAAGGUCCGGGGUUCAAACUCCGACCGCGACCAAAAUAUGUUCAAUACUUAUUUUAAAAUUUAUAUCAGCAUGUCUUUAUAAUAAUUUUUUAAAAUUUUUGCGAAGUGACAACUUGUCUCGUUUAAAACAAUUAUUUUAAAAUUAUGAAGUGAUGAGUUGACCCUUGUAUGAUAUAUUUUGUCAAUCUUUUUUAAAACUUGUCUCUUAAACUAAUUUAUACAUCGUUUGUUACUGUAACACCCCGUUACCCAAAAGUGAUUAAAUAACAAUUAUUCAUCAGGGUUAAGCACCAAACGGGCAUGCUACAUUGCAAAUUCAAAAUUCCUUAAAUAGAAAAUAAAACUAUUUAAAUCGACAUCAUUCAUAACCUCAAAAAUUAUGCAGCGGAAAGUUUGCAUUUAAUAAACAUCAACAGUUUAAGUUUCCAACAACAUCUUGGCAUUAAGCCUAAUCAUCAUUAAGUCAACCGACAAGGGCCACAUCAACAAGUUCCAAAAAUUGAUACAUGGAAAGGAAAAACAACAAUAAUUAUAGAUAAUGAUUCUCAUCCCACGUAUCAGAGCCCUAGACACGACAUUGAGCCACCACCAACUACUCAGGGUCACCUGCAAGUUACCCAUAGGAAGGGCAACAUUUUCAAACAGAAGGGGUGAGAUUCACAAUCAAUAAUAAUAAUAUAUAAUUCAUCAAAUGCAUCUAACAACUUAAACUCCAUCAAUUAGUAAUAAUAAUUCGUUUAACGACUCCUAAACCAUAUCAUGUACUCAUCAUAUCAACAGUUAUAACUCGAUAUCAUAAACAACAUCAUUUAACUUCAUAAUCAACAUCUUAAUCAUAAUCAUAUAACAUCAUACUUAUAAUUCGUAUACAACAUGACAACUUCAUAAUCAAUGACAUAAACAACGUAACAACAUCAUAUUCAUAGUUCAUAUACAACAUAACAACAUCAUUAAUUCGUAUUAACAUUCUCCACCAAGCACCUUAUUAACAACUCAUGAAUAGAGGACAACUUAGCAACUAUCCGUAACAUCAUCAUUUCAUAAUAAUAAUUAUUCAUGAAACAUUCCAUUAGCAAUUCAUGAAUAAAAGACAACUUAUCAACUUAACAUAACCAUCAUCAAGUACAUUUAACAACUCAUAGAUAACAUCUCAUAAUCAUCAUCACAACAUUCAUAAUCAUCAUCAUGUAACAUCAUCACAAUCUCAUAUUCAACACCAUAAACAGUCAUCAUAACAUCGUAAUCAAUAUCAUAAACAUCUUCUCAUAAUAAUAUAAACGACACGACAUAAUCAUCACAUCAUAGCAAUAUAAACAACUACAUAUAUUUAACAAUAAUGUUCUUACCUCUUUAACUUUAGUAACACUUACUAAUUCAACCAACAACGACGAUAACUACAAUUAUCCAAUAUAUGUAUAUAUUUCAUAAUCAACAAUAUCAUCAAUAAAAGAUAUCUAACUCAUCAAUUAAAUCUAUCACCCUGUCAUAAUAAUAAUUCAUCAAUAUAUAAGUAUAUCAUCAUUAACAACAUCAACCAAAUGAUAAUUAAAACCAACGACUCAUGCAACAACUCGACACCACCGCUAAGACUCAUGCAAGACAUGACAACUCCACUAAGACUCCUCUACAAAUGCAACUAUGCAUGCGGUACCAACCAGGACCGAAGUCCUCACCGCUUUUGAAUGGUUAAAGCAUUCAUCAGGACCGAAGCCCUCACCGCUGUGAACAACUAAUGUUCCAGGACAUGAGUCCUCUCCGCUGUUUAUGCAUAUGCAAUGGACCUACUUGUGUAUAUCUACAUACAACUUGACCAUGCAUACAUACUCCAUAUGACUCCACUUUUACAACAUGUAUGGUUAAAUAAUAAAUCAUACAUCACAGCCAUCAGCAACAUUCGACAAUUCAGCAAUCCAACCAUUCAGGAUAAUGCAUAAUUUAAUAUAACUAUACUUAAGACAACAACCUCAAUAGCUUAAUCAACAACAUAAACAACGUUACCUAAAUAUUAACCAACUUUAAUUAAACAUUAACCCACUUUAAUUAAAUAUUAACCAACUUAUUAACCAACAUUACCCACAACAUUAGCCAAUAUAUUAACCAACAUAUGCAGCUUAAUCAAUAAUAAACAGCGACAUGGCAGCACACAAACAAUCUCAAGAUAUAACAACAUCAAAUGGUAAUCAACAUCUUAAAACAUCAUAUAUACAUAUAACACUUCAUCAAUCAUUGACAAUAUCGUAUUCACAAAUAUAUACAUACAUAUCUUAAUUCAUCAAUCAUAAACAAUUCUUCACUGUGACCUACGUGCAGUAAUUUGACCAUAACUCAAGUUCUAUAAAUCCUUUUGAAGUCAAACCAACGGUAUUAGAAAGCUAACAUCCAUACCUACAACUUUCGUGUUUACACCUAAGGCCAAUUCUGUACCAAUCAAUACCAGUUUUCAUUUCAAAUUCUGACAAAGUUGUGCUGAAAUUCAUAAAAAUUCACUAAGACCUCCUUUGAGUAUUUUUAUCAUAUCUCAUAAACCAAAAAUCAUUUUCGAGUCAAAUUAAAGCCAUUGGAAAGCUAACAAAAUUAUCUACAACUUUCAUGUUUACACCAAAGACCAAUUCAAAACAGAAACAUGUGAAAAAGACGCAAGAACGCGAAACAGGUGAUGCUGUCUCUGUGCAUCUCGCGAGGCGAGUAAGUUUACUCGCUAUGGCGAGUUGCGACGAACAACCCUACGGGAACAGACCAGUUUUCAGCCAAAAACCCAAUUUUUCAUCCACCCAAACCCCAAAUUUGAUAGGAAACUCAACCUAUGUUUAUUCUACAAUCUGAACAUCGAUUCUUAACACAAUUGCCAUCGUUUCUACACUUUUCAAUCCAAGAAUCAUACUCCAAAAACCUAACCCCCAAUUCCCAAUUUCAACUAGAACUAUGCUAAACCAAAAUCAGAAUUAUAUAACCAUUACCAUUGAGAGAUAGUCUCACCCUUACCUGAAUUCAAUUGCACAAACAAAGCUACAGCAAAAUCGAUCCCCUCUUGCUCUUGUUCUCCCCUUGGCUUGGUUUUCUCUGUUUUCCUCCCAAGUUUUAAUUGUAGGUACAGACAGUUUUCUGUCUUUCUAACUCUUAACUUAACUUCCUUUCUAUUUUCUUAACUCCCUAUAACUCCCUUUAAUUACACCUUAUUCCCACUAAAUUCAAUUAAAUUCUAAUUAACUCCCAAAUUUUCAAAAUAAUAUUAAUUCUCACAUUAUUUUAAUAAUUAUCAUAAUAAAUCAUAUAAUAAAAUAUAGCACACCAAAAAUCAACACCAAUCAACAUAAUUCAUAUUAAAAUCAUACAAAAGACUCUAAAAUAAAUUAAAAAAAUAAUUAAUAACAACUAGGGCGUUACAGUUACUGCCUCACUUCAAAUCUAUACACAUUACUAUUUUUCUACUACUCUCUUUGGUAUGUUGUACGUAUCAAACGAUCUAUGUUUUACCGUUAUUUUUAUGUAACAAUGAAGUAUAUUUACCUUAUGUUUUUAUGAAUAUAAAAAAAAAAAUUAAAUUUUAAUAUUCAUUAAUUAAUGUAACAACACGUCUUUAGAUCUUGUAAAAAAACACGUCGUUAGAUAUAUAUAUAUAUAUGUGUGUAAAAUAACAUUUAUUAAAUUAUAUUUUUAGAGGUUAAAUAAACUACUACUAUUUUUUUAUUAUUUGAUAAAGAAAUUAUUAUUAUUAUUAUUUUUUAUAUAUUUUUUAAAGAAUUUAUUUAUUUUUAUUUUUAUUAUGUUACAUUAAUUUUGCAAUAAAAAAAGUCGAUACUCCUUUACCCCUUUCUAUCUCGUACAAACCUAGAGUAUUUUUUAUAAUUUUCUUUUUAUUUUAUUUUUUGUCAUUUAACUUUAUUCCACACACCAUAUUUAUUUCAAAGUUAAUUUUCUCUCUCUUCACCAAAGAAAUCUGGAAAACUCUCUCAUUCUUAAACAAACCCUAGCCGCCGCCUCCUCCCUCAUUCAGUGUGUCUCCGGCGGUCGUUACAUUGCUCCACCAUCUUCAUUUUUGAAAACCCAUCACCAUAAAAUGAGUCCCCUCCAUCUUCUCUACAAAUUCCAUUUAAAAAUAUCAGGAACGGACAACCUUCGCCGGUGACCACCACGCCGGAGCUUGCAACCACCGCGCCGGGAAAGAGCUUACGUGUUUUCCAGAUCUGGGUCAGAAUUUUUACACAAACACUUAAACCUGGGCUGUUGUCUUCAUCAAGGUCAAGUUCUUUACAUAUUUUGUUUCCAUUACAUGCAACAACAACAAUACAAAUAUGAAAUUGGAUGUGAUUUUGUUUUAUUUCUAGAGAUGUAAAUUUUUUUUUGUAGAUGUAAAAUUUGCUUUUUUGUUGUUGAUAUAAUUUUAAAAUUGUGUUAGGACUGUUUUUGUUAAAUAUACAUGAUAUGAAGGUCAACAACAAAUGAAAUAAUUAAUGAUAUUAGGAAAAUGAAUUCUUAUACCUGCCGUGUUCUUCUUGUUGUCAAAGAGAGAAGAGGAAAAGGAAAAUGAGAGAGGAGAGACAGUUGAGAGAAUGAGAGAGAGAUUUUUUAUUUUUUUUUUGAAAGAGAGAGAAUGAGAGAGUAUUAAAUUAUGAAAGAGUAGUGAAUGACAAUAUAAGAGUAUUUGAAAUUUGAAAUUGAAAAUUUGCCUCCAAUUGAUUCUAGAUCUGACAUUAGAUUAUAUCUUUUUUGUACAAAAGAAAACUUUUUUCGUUUUCCGUGUCAACCAAAAUCGGAUUUAUUUAGUUGGCAUCAAAUGGAAAUGACUUUAUGAAGAGCAAAUGAACUAAACUAGUUAUUUGUAGUUACAUGACAUCAUCUUAGUUAAUUGUGGUAAUUUGGUUGAAUAAAGUAAGUUAAAGACAGAUUUUACCCUUACUUUGGUGAUUUGUCAAUUAACCAGGCUGGGGCAUUAAUAGGAUUUCCACAACAUCUUCUCUUCUUAUAUUAAGAGAGAUUUAUUGCUGAUUCAAGAAAAAAGAUGUAUAAUAAAUAGGGGUAUAUAUGUAAAGAAAUAAUUAAUGUAGUUGAAAAUAGCAAAGGAAUCUUAUAAAAAGGGACAAAAAAAAAUUCUUAAAAAGGGUCUUAUAAACUCACUCUACUCUACCUGGUAAUUGAAAAUUACUUACCAAAACUCAACUCUACUCUACCUACCAAUACCAUCCAUCUAGUCCAAAUUCACAAUUGGUUAAAUACUUCAUCAUCUUUACCCUGUCUGUGAAACAACUCCAAAGGUUGAACGAACACUCUUCACGGUUCCUCCCUCUUACUUCAAUUCCACCAACAAUUAUCUAAAUUUUUCAUUGCAGAUUAGAAAAUGUCUGUUGCAAGAAGAUUGAUUAAAUGCGUUAUCCUUGAUUUGGAUGGCACGUUGCUCAACACAGAUGGCAUAGUUUGCAACGUUUUAAAGGUUUCGUUGGGAAAGUAUGGGAAAGAAUGGGAUGGAAGAGAAACACUUAAAAUUGUAGGGAAAACACCGUUGGAAGCUGCUUCUGCUGUUGUUGAAGAUUAUGGACUUCCUUGCUCCCCAAUUGAAUUUGUUUCCGAGCUUUCACCGCAAUUCUCCGAUCAGUAAUUACUAUCUCUUAACUCUUAUAUUACUUUCUUAAUCCUUUUUUUAAAUGUUGACUUUCAGUAGAGAUGGAUGGUUGAAACUUGAAACCCUCUGGGUGCAUAGGCUUGUGACUAUGAAGCACAGGCACGUCCAAUAAUAUAAAUAUUUGAGGAAAUAUUAUAAUUCAAUGUAAUCAUAUAUGUCAGUGUUCAACACGCAUCAAGGACUGUAUGUGCUUCAUUGCUUGUGUCAUUCUUGGAGCUUGUUUUGUAAUACUAUGCUGCUAAUAUCUUAGGGGUCUAGGCCUCUAGGGGGAGGUUUACACUAGAUUCACCAUUGCAAGACUUAAAAGAAAAAAUGCGAGGAAUUAUUAUCAUAGUCAUUGAUUAAAAAAACAGAUUUCAAAUAUAAAUAACUUCGUAGUCUGUCAUUGUUUUCGUAGGAUGAUAUUCUGUUACCUUGUUUUUUAAUUUUUGAGUUGGUUAGCUCUUGUGAUCUUAGUUUAAUAGGCUAUUCAUUGGGGCAUUUCAGGGCAGUAUGCACUUUGCAGAAAGGAUUUUUUAUGUUUUAUUUGAAUAGAGGAUACUUCCUUUUUAGACGUAUAACUCUGGGUGAUUGAUGAGUAUUGGGUUUUCUAGACUAAUAUUGUUGUAAACCACAUACUUAACUUUUUAUCCAUUACUCCGAUUGCAAUAAAUUGUUAUUUCUAAACAACAUUGCUGAAUGUUGAGUCAAAGUUCAUAAUAGUUACACAGUUAUACACGAGAAUAUGAUUACAAUCUCAAUCGUUGAUGUUUUUAAGUACUGGCUAUAACUACUCGCUUCUUCAUAUAAAGUGAAUCCCUCAUUUAUAGGAACCAUAUCCAAUCCUCUUUAGCUUUGGAAAUUUAUUAACCAAUAUGUAUUCAACAUCUGGAAAAUUUGUCCCCAAUCAAUUAGUUUAUGGUCCGAUACGAUCUUUGUUCAAUUGGAAACCUUUGUGUAUCAUAUGUUUCAUAUUGGAUAUGCAAGUAAAUUCCUUUGUUUUAUAAAGCUCCUGUAAACACAGUUACUUGGUUGGUUAAUCCAAUUGAACUUGUACUUCAAAGUUAUGAGGGAAUUUUUCUAAGUUUUUGCUUGAUUCUCAUGUUAGGUGGUGCAAUAUUAAAGCACUUCCUGGUGCCAAUCGGUUGAUUAAACAUUUGAAGAGCAAUGGAGUUCCAAUGGCCUUGGCAUCAAAUUCUCCAAGGGAAAGCAUUGAUGCCAAAAUAUCCUUUCAUGAUGGUAUCAAUUUAUUUCAGAAACCUUGCGCUUCUUGGACUCCUUUUGUCAUUGUUUGUGAUAAUGAAAGUAUGAGCUAUUUUCUUAAUUCAUAUUCUUUUCCCAUGCAGGAUGGAAAGAUUCUUUCUCUGUUAUAAUUGGGGGUGAUGAAGUUCGAACAGGGAAACCUUCCCCUGACAUGUGAGAUGCAAAAUACGUUUUGUUUAGCCUUGAUUAUUGAGGGUUACUUGUUUACUAUACAAGUAAGAUAAUUUUCUUCUGAAAAACUGUGAUUUAUGGCAUCAGAUUCUUUGAAGCUGCUAGGAGGUUAAAGAUUGAGCCUUCCAGCUGUCUUGUCAUCGAAGACUCUCUGUGAGUGUCCUUCUAUUCUAACUCUGAUUUAUGUGCCGGCUUCAAGUCUUCUUUGAUGGUUAAACCUUCUGUUGAAAAUUUAAUCCUAUCGUUACACUUCAAAAAGAAAGUUCUUUAAACUUGUUGAAUUUUCCCUUAAUUAUAUUUGUAAUAUGGGAUAGGGUCAAAUGACACUAGAUUAUUAAAGUUAGCUUUUAAGACCAAAUCACGCAUGCUUAUUUGUGCUUAUUCUGGUGGCUUACAGGGUAGCUUAUUUUUGUUGAAUUGGCAUAGGGGUACCAAGAAAGAGAUAGUGAGAGACUCUGAAGGAGAGACAUAGUAGGUCACAUGCUAUUUGAUUAAAUUGGUUAUAGCCUUUAGAUUAAAGAAAAUGGAGGGAUAGAAUUUGGUGUCAGAAAAUUUGAAACCUGAUUUCAAUUGAUCCCACCCUUGUAAUUAUUACAUAGACAUCUUUUCUUUCUUUUGCCUCUUCAUUUAAAAAGAAAAUAUUCUAAAUAUUAUUGGACAACCGUUAAACAUCCCACACCCCCUCCAGUGAUUCUGUCUAGACUUUUUCAGCGAUCCCAUUUAAGUUUUGUAAUUUGAUGUUCAGCUAUGAAAUAAAUCUAAUGGCGGAGGACUAUUGUUAUGUUGAUAGCUUGGGCAGACAGAACUACUCAUUUUUAACUUGUAAGGAUGAUGGCUUGUUUUUGAGGAAGGAAACAUAUUAAAUUACAUCUUUUGUAUUUGAUGAGUGCUCAUUCAGGUGCAGUUUAUGUGUGAUUGAUUAACAGAGAAAGCGGGUGAUUUGGGUGCAUUGAGACUUGUAAUUGAAGUUUGAGAGAAUCCAUAUGAUACUUUUUAAGGAAAAUCUUUCAUAACAUUUAGUGUAUGUGUGCUCAGGUUGAAUGCUCUCUCUGUUAUUAUGAUUUAAACUUCGUUUUGUGACGUCUUCAUGGUUUCCAAUUAAUUUAGGUCUUGUCCUGUUACAACUAUCUGUGAAAGAACUGUACUUCUGUAUCCCAUGAAUCUACCCUUUGAUACUUCGAACAUGGUUUAUGGAAUUUGAUUAAAUUUCUUACUUAAUUUAAAAGAAUUUUUCUAGCAUUCUCAAGUUGUGUAUAUAUCCUUAUAACUUAACAGACAAAAUAGUCUCUGUUCAAUCUGCAUUAUUUUUUUGCUGAAUCCUCCCUUUCUGUUAUGGUCUACACUCAACAGUGAUUUCUAUGUUGAAAAUAUGUUAGACUACCUAUUUGCGACAUAGUUUUUUCUUUCUAAUAAUUAUCUACUUGGCUACUUCAGACCCGGUGUUACUGCAGGUAAGGCUGCUGAGAUGGAAGUGGUUGCUGUACCAUCACUCCCAAAACAGUCUCAUCUCUUUACUGCAGCAGAUGAGGUGAUAAAUUCCCUACUUGAUUUGCAACUUGAAAAGUGGGGUCUACCACCAUUUGCAGAUUGUAAAUCCUGAAUACCUUAAGAUAACAUUUUGUGUUUGUGAAUUUCCUUUAUUGGUAUAUACGGUAUUUAUAUUUGAACUAGUAUUAUAAUUUAUUGCAGGGGUGGAGAGAACUUUGCCUGUAGAUCCUUGGUAUAUUGGUGGUCCUGUCAUCAAGGGAUUUGGUCGAGGCUCGAAAGUUCUCGGGAUUCCUACAGGUUUGUUUUCAGCUUUCAUUUAUUUCUUGUGGUGGUAUGAAGCUGAAACGUAGAGAGAAGCAAAAUAUGGGUAAUUCAUAAUAAUGCCCUGAGGUUAUCCCAAUUCUAUUUAGUGGUUGCUUGUUUUAUAAGCUUGAGAUCCUGAUUUUGGAAUUUUCCCCCAAAUAUAUGAGAAUUAUGCAAUCUUAAACAGUUUUAGGCCUAUUUAUAUACUAAGGUUCGGUGCACUAUUUUUUCAGCUAAUUUGUCAACAAAGGACUAUUCAGAUCUCCUUGCAGAGCAUCCUGCAGGAGUUUAUUUUGGUUGGGCUGGAUUAUCAGGAAGAGGUAUUUUUAAAAUGGUGAUGAGCAUUGGUUGGAAUCCAUAUUUCAACAACAAAGAAAAGACUAUAGUAAGUUGUUUAUUUUAAAUCGCUGGCUAUAACUAUUUUACCUCAGAAUUUUCGUAUAAUCUAUAUUUCUUUUCUCUCUGUAGGAACCAUGGUUGCUUCAUGAAUUCACUGAGGAUUUCUAUGGGGAAGAACUGAAGCUGGUUAUAGUUGGUUACAUACGUCCUGAGGUAUGGCUGCAGCCUACAUUAUUUCUAAAUCAUGGUUGUCAUGUUCUUCAUCUUUUGAGUUUCUCUAAAAUUGGGCACUCUGCAUAGCAGGUCAAUUUUCCAACCCUUGAAAGCUUGAUUGCUAAGAUUCAUGAAGACCGUAGAGUUGCGGAGAGCGCUCUUGAGCUUCCUAUGUAUUCAAGUCAUAAGGAUGAUUCAUAUUUGAGAAGCUCAUAGUACUGAUUUUAUUAGGUUCUUUUAAAGAAACCUCAGCAUUUGUACUAGUGCCAAAAACAGCUUUCUUGUAUUAUACCCUGUGGUUCUUAAUCACCACUCACCAUAACACAAUUUGAUGUGUAACAUGCAUAGAUAGUAAUGAAAAAGGCCAUUAUUUCACUUUUAAUAUUUGACUGCCUGCUGGCAAUUCGGACCCUUUCUAUCAUAAAAUUGCAAUGUUAUGUUAUAGAAUCCAAAUCCUUAAUUAUUCUAUCGAUUUGGUUUUCAUAUUAAACUCUUAUGAUUUUCAUCUGGUUUUAGCAGAAUUUUCUUUCUUUAUUAUGACAUGAAUUUUUUUGACCGAAUAUGACAUGAAAUUAUGUCCCAGUGAGCAUAGCUCAAUUGACAGGGACAUGCAUUGUUAUAUGCAGGGGUUGAGAUUCGAACUCCGGACACCUCACUUAGUCAUAUUGAAAAAGGUGAAUUCUGGCCAUCAGACUACAUGACCAAAUAAUAAUAAUAAUAAUGUUAUUUGCACACCUAAGUUGAUGCCUUUGGCUCAUUUCACACUUAUUAAGAAAAAGUGUAUAAGAGAAAAAGAAUUAUGCUCUUCACUCAGCACAUUUCGCUCGCACCUUGCAGCCAUGCCCAAAAUGCCACCGCGCUAGUUAACUAGCGCAAGUGUAAACUUGUGCGCAAAUUAAGCAGCGUUGCGUAUGUUAAGUGGCGCAAGUGUAAACUAGUGCGAACGUUAAGUGGCGCAAAGUGCCUACUUUUUUUUUAUUCAUUCAAUAUGAUCAUUAAAUACAAAAUUAGAAAAUAAAAUCGAUUUUAUUUAUUCAAUAUUCAUUUAUUCAAUACAUAAGCAUAAACAAAAAAUAAAUGCGAAAAUAAAUACAAAUAAAAAACAAAAGUAAUAAAAAUAACUCUCAUUUUAUUAAUAUGAUUCAAACAUUACAUUAUAUAAUACAUAUAUUUUACCCUCUUCGGUAUAUGCAAAUAACUCUUGGGGAAAAUAAUGAUCCGUCCUGUUUGAAAAAACGACAUCAAGACCCCUUGAGUUAAACUUAAAUUUGGUUCCUUUUAUACCCCCAUAUUGAUUCUUUUUACCCACGGUAAAAAGAUUUUGGGAGUAAAAGGAAACAAACCUAAUUUUAUCUCAAGGGAUGAUGUCUUUUUCUUCAACUUAACGGACCACUAUUUCACCCAAAAGCCACCGGUAUUUACCUAAAGGGUAUAAAGACCCUCGAGACUAUAGAAACAAAGAAGAAGAAGAAGAAGAAGAAGAAGAAGAAGAGAAAGAGUGGGAGAGAGUGGGAGGAGAAAAUGUGAGGAAAAGAGGAAGUAUGUGAGAGUUUUUAUAGGUGGUAUAAGGUAUAUGACACUUAAUGAGGUCCAAAAACAUGUGAAAAACUUAAGUAAAACGUGUAAAAUCCAAUCAAAACCAUUGACUACUGUCCAAGAAACGUUUGUGUUUCAGUUUUUACCACCGACCAACUUGCGCAUAGGCUCAGUGGUGCGCGACUUAAGUCACGCAAAGCUUGUGAGGUGUACAUGUUAAGUCUCGCUGCGUUACUUAACUCACGCAGGGUUAUAUUCGAAAAAAGUGCAGGGCGCAAGCAAAAUGUGCAGGGUGAAGAGCAGAAUUCAGAGAAAAAUGGGUAUGAGUGCUCUUAUCAACUAUUAGUGCAUUCUUCUUUAUCAUAAAUGCAAAGUAGAAUAUAUUGAAUUGAGAGUGGUGAAAGUAAUAUUAAUUAAUGUUAUAGUUGGAAAAAAAGUAAUUAAUAUUGUAUUGAAAAGUGAAAUGAGUCAAUUUUUCUGAGACAAUAUUUUUCUUGCAAAUGACUCAGUUAUUAUGGGACGGAGAGAGAGUACAUCUUAGUCUUUUAUUUCAUGAAAUUAUUAGAAUUGUUUUUAUUAACAAUGUUAAAAUAAAUUAUACUCCACACACACUUCAUUGAUUAAUCCCAUGAGUAAUGGUAUACAUUGUCAAUCUAAAAGAGUUGCAAUCAAUCGUAAUGUACAAAAUGAAUAUAAUUAGCAAUAUGAAUUCAUUAGUAAAUGAUUGAACAUUUUAUUUGCUUUUUGCCUCAUAAAACGAAUAAAUGUACUUGUACAAAACGAAUAAAUGUACUUAUGAUGGUUUAAAAUAUAGCGAAUUUUAUAUUUAAAAUGUCUUCAACUUAUGUUCGACUCAUGUAUAUCUAUUAUAUUUAUAUUAUUUUUUUAUUAUAUUGUUAUCAUAUGUAAGAAAUGUCAAAAAAAAUGUUAAAAUUAUGUUCAAUAAGAACCAAAAGUGAAAUAAUAUAUUUUUUUUAAGAUGAAAACAUUCAUUUUUAUUUGUAAGGAUUAAAAUCAAACGAAAAACUUAUUUAUUUCACACUUUUUAUCAAUUGAAAAAAAAAAAAAAAAAAGUCUUACGAGAUUUAUUUAAAAUGGUCAGAGAAGUCGAGUUUCCAGCUGAGAGAGGAACACUGAGUUUUGGCGCUUACAGUUGAAGUCGAGUUUCCAGCUGCAACAUAGUGGGUUGGAGGAGGAGGAAUAACAAUGGGAGAAGAAGCAGAAGAGGUAAUUGAACUCCAACCCGACGCAUCUAUCCCCAACGAAAUCGAAGAGUAUUCCUGGCCCGUCCUUCGUUUCGAUGUCUCUCCUCAUAGAACCUACCAUUUCCAUCAACAGUUCACUUCUCCCACUAACCCUAACAAUUUUCUCAAAGCUGUUAAAUGGUCACCGGAUGGCUCUUCUUUCCUCACCUCUUCCGACGACAACACUCUCCGCCUCUUCACUCUGUAUGUAUACUUUCUCUUUACAACCUUCUUCACCGUCUGUUUUUUAAUUUUAACUAUUCCAUGCACCAUUCAAUUAAUUCACUUCGCUUCACGAUUUUCAGACCGGGCGCUGAUAGUGACAUUCCUCUUGAUACUUCCGACUACCAAGGCAAGCUCACUCGCCACAAAUAAGACACCGUUUCAAUAAGCAUUUUAAUUAAGUGCUUAUAGCAUAAAUGCUUAUCAUGUAUGUCAUAAGUGCUUAUGUAUAUAAGCUAUUUCUGUAACAGAAAUCAAAUAAUGCAACUGUUUUCAUAUAAGCUAUAAGCUAUUUUCAAAAGCUAUCUUAGAGAGCUUAUGGAAAUAAGCUGACAAUAGCUUAUUGACUUUUCAUAAACUUUAUUCAUACAUUCUUCAAGUAAUUGCGCUAGCUUGCAUUAUUGCGUUGGCUUGCUGUGAAUAGGGUACUGUUUGAAAAACAUCUUAAGUGCUUAUGACUUAAAUGUUUAUCUUAUAAGUCAUAAGUGCUUAUUAUAAGCUAUUUCUAUAACAAAAGAUAAAUUAAAGUCAAUCCGUUUCUGUUGGAUUAAUUAUUUAAUUAAUCAAUUAUGGUUUGACAAUAAUCAAUUAUUAUAAGUUAAUUUCAUAAUAUAAAUUAUGGUCUUUUGUGUUAAACACUAAUUAGAUGAUGAAUAUGUGUGAUUGGGCUAUUCUUUCUAAAUGGACCGUGAUGGGUUGGACCAUUUAGCUAAGCCCAAUGAGAGGUCUCUGCCCUCAGCCGUUUAGCUAUUUAAACGUCAUCCCAUCAUACGAUUAAUUAUUCUGAACACUACUCUGAAAACCUAACGCUAAACGGAAUGAAGGUAGUUAUUCCUCUCAUAACUUGAUGGCGAUCCUUCAUGAACCUAAACAUACAAGGUACACAAUUUCUUCUCUCUUUGUUGUUGAUAAUAUGUUAUAACUUGUAUCUAGUAAUCCAUGGCUAAACUCUAAAACUUUUAUCAGUUUCCAUAUAAUUUAUGAGUUGUUUUCAUAAGCGGUGUUCAACUAUUUAUGCAUAAGCUGUUUCCAUAAGCUCUUCUAAUGAGUAUCAUGAGUGUUUAUGUCAGUAGAUAAGCUCAAAUUAGAAAAUCCAUACAGGCCCUAAGUCUUUACAUUCGAGUGAUUGCAUUUGCUUGCAUUAUCAGUUCCUAUUUUUAUUAUCGUUGUCGUUAAUUGGCUGCAGAUUCUUAUGCUGCAAGUUUAGUCAUGAGUGAAGGAGAGUCUAUACAUGAUUUCUGUUGGUAUCCUUACAUGUCUGCCUCAGGUCUUUCUUUUAUCCCAUAAUAGUAUUUGUAUCAUUUUCUUUGUUGGAUGGAGGAGAGAGGCUUAUUGUAUUGUAUUCUUUGAUGAAUGUUUCAGAUCCGGUGACCAAUGUUUUUGCGACUACUACUCGUGACCAUCCCAUACAUCUAUGGGAUGCUACAUCAGGCCAGGUAUUUCUUUAUUAUGCCUUUCCGGUUAUGUGCUUAAAUUAUUUGACGUAUAGAUAACUGGAAAUUCCAAAUAAUCAAUAUCAGUAUUGCCUGGAAAUAUUUUAAAAAGCGUUAAAAGUCUGAAAUUCAAUAUUUUCUAUACCAAAACUGAAAGUAUGAGAGCAUUUUGAGGUGUUAGAUUUAUAUAUGGUGGCAGUUUCAUCACAGGUUGAUCAGGGAUAUAGUUUCUCUCCUUAAAGUGUUUGUUCUUUUAUGGUUGAGUACUGAUGUUAUUAUUAGCAGCUUUGUAGUCACAUUGUGGUUUCCGUAUUGAUAGUGUUUUCUGACCUUUGAAUUACGAUGAAACUUGCAGUUACGCUGCACAUAUCGGGCAUAUGAUGCUAUGGAUGAAAUUACUGCUGCUUUUUCUGUUGCUUUUAAUCCUUCUGGAACAAAGUAAGCAACUUGUUUCUUUUCACGGACCAGAAGUUGGCAUAUUCUAUAUACAUAUUACAUAGUGCAGUAUUUCUUUGAUAACAUUUACUUCAUGCUCACAAAUCCCAAGUGUUUCCUCCUUCAAGCAUUCAUAAAAUUUCUUUUGAACACCUAAAUAGUUGAAUAUACGCUAAAAUAUGGUUUUGGUCCCCGCAAAUAUGUCUCGUUUUGGUUUUAGUCCCUGUAAUUUUGUUUUUGUUUUUGGUCCCUGCAAAUAUGCCUCGUUUUGGUUUUGGUCCCUGGCCCCACUUUUGUGAUGAUUUGCACACGUGGCAUAUGAUGACUGAACCCAUUUAUUAGAAAAAUAGUCCCUGCAAAAUCUCUAUUUUCAAAAACAAGAUAUUUUGCAGGGACCAAAAUGAUAGGAUAUUUAGAAUAAUGAGUACUAAUGUGGUGACUCCCCUAGUUCUAGAAGGUAGUAUGACUCAUCUUAAUCUAGAAAGGAUCUUUUAGGCAUAUUCUAUUAGUUAGUUACUAAGCAAUGCUAUUGCGUAGCCGUUGUAGUUAGCUUACUAUGUGUAUGCACAAGUCUAUAUAAACAUUGUAUGCCUUAUUAUGAGGGAAAUGAAAAAUAUAAUGAAUUUCUUUUCUUUUAUCUCUAGUUUUCUCUUUUAAUUUUUGGAGUGUGAUCCCUACUCGAAUUGGGUCGUAUCAUUUGGUGCUUUCAUUUUGUUCUCAUUCCCGCUAAUUGAAAUUGAUAAUGGAGUUUUCUAUUUUUGAUGGAGAAGAUGACGCAUAUUGGUGGAUUCUCUGUACUGAAAAAUACUUCAGGGCAAGAGGAACAUCGGAUGCGACGAAGAUGAUAGUGGCUGCAUUAGCUAUGCGUGGUGGUGCUCUCAGAUGGUGGUUGUGGUGGUCUCGCCGUCAUCCGCAGUCAAAUUGGGACACCUUUACCACUGAUCUCUUAUGGCGCUUUAAGCCUGAAUGGCGGCAUCUCUUGCCUGUGUUAGAUGAAGAAACGGAGGAAGCAUGUGAAUCCUCAAAGUUGGAGGUGAAGCAGCCUUCCCGAGUUUCCGAUUGUGUUGUUGAUCUCGUACUAGACAUACCAGGUGAACACAAUCAAGAUCUUCCACCAUGCUCAAAGCUUGUUGAGAAGCCCUCCAUCACUCACGAUUAUGUUGAUUCCAUAGCUUUCAUUACGGGUGAACAGGAUCUGGAUUCCCCACUAAAAUCGGAAGUUCAGGUUGUUCAACUGGAAAUUGCAGAUUCCAUUGAUGGCGUACAACAGAGGAGCGUCAUCGUCAUGACGGGAGACAAGAAAUUUAGCAAUCCUGCUCUCGGUCCACAAUCUCCAAAACCGCUAGACACUGCCUUGGCUCCACCGUUGCCGCCGCCGAAACCGCCGGAUGGAAGUGUUGCUGCAGGUAUCGAUCCAUUAUAUGCUCCUGUUACUUUACACAAAUACUCACCACCCAUGAAAUUGUCAUCAGGUACCGCAGAAAACUUAACAAACCUGAUCUCCAUUGUUGACCUUCAACCACCGCACCCCACUAAAAUCAUAGGUUCUGUAUCAAUCACAACUUCAGGGGUCGUGUCUUAUCCCAAGGACACCGGUUUUGACGAUGAUACGGAUAUCUCAAUUCUGGGGAAAAUCCACCACCCUGCAGCUCUUGCAAAAUGUACAAACCUAUCUGAUUUCCAUCUUACCUCUGAAGCAACUAACACCCACCUCGUAGGUGGCUUCGCCGUUCCCCCACCGCCUCCACCAAAGCCGCCAGAUAAUGACCCAUCUAAGAGUAACCCUGUGCUGUUAUUGGCAGAGUCAACAAAAUCCAGCAUUGUUAUGUUUGCAUCAAUCACUGACACUGAACCAUAUGACCCAGGUCCAUCGAAACAUCCAUUCCCAGCCACUGUAGUCACUUUUAUCAGUACGACGAACUUGUUUGAUAAAUUUCCCAAGAGGGACUGUGCUUUUCAUUUUUGUUCCAGAGAAGUUAUUACUAUCACCGUCGCGAGGAACAUGUUCGAUAAACUGCCCACGAGGGAUCAUGCUUUUCCCAGAGAGGUUAUUACUACAAAUGAUAGUUUGCAACAUAUUAACCAUGCUCUUGCAAAAGUUCACUUCUUAAAUGCAACUAUCACCACACUGUUUGGGAUAAAAAAACUUCUAGAGGCACUUAUCAUUAUGUUUAAGUUGGGUGAAGCUAGUGCAGUGUAUAAACUUUCUCAGACAGGUUUGAUCACAAUUACUGAUUAUAUUAAUGUCAUUGUUCUGCUGAUUGUUUGUUCAACAUAUGUGUCGCACCAUAAAGCUAUUGAACUACCAUCACAACUAUGCCAUGAUCAGCCUGACAUGUUAAGGGCCACUAUUGCAAUGAUAUCUUCAUGUAUCUCUUCAAUUGCUAUUCUAAUGUGUAGUAAUGAUAAGGCAAACCAAUUAUUUUUGGAAAAUUCUAGCGUGGAAGGUAGACUCCUUUCUCUACUUGGCUAUGUAUUUAAAGAAGCUUCUUUUGUUGCCAUGAUUACACAUAGGUUCUCAACAUUUGUAAAUGUCCUUAUGCAUGCUGAUGGGUUCUUUGGAAUUUGUGGGUCUGUUCCCUUGUAUUGGGAUGAUGUUUUGCAUGAUUUGAACCUCCUUUUGAUUUAUGCUAUACAUUGUCGGAGCGAAUUUUGUUACCCAAGGUUAUUUGAUUCAACAAAAGGGACAGGGGAGGUUGUUGAUUGGGGCAUAAACAUAUUUUGCUUAAUGGUUGCAGCUCCAUUUUGUUCCUUACUAUCCUUACAUAAUCCGCAUCACAUUGAUGAUAUUUUCUCUUACAAGACAACUUCAAAUUCCAAGCAACAUUUAUCUAACAAGGUAGAGUUUGAUUCAGUUGUUGCAGUCAUGGAGGUGAUGCUUUAUAAGGGAAAAUUCCUUAAUAUUUUGAUAUCUCACCCUCAUGCCUCUAGUAGUUCAUAUUUAAACCUGAACGAGAUUCCCAACAAAUCACUACGGAUUCAAGAUGGUCUAUAUACAUGUGCAUAUUUUGUUGGCUUACUUCUACAAUGGCUGGAUAAAUUUAAACUAUUAAACUCACUAUGUGGCACUGUUUUUGAGGUCAAUCAAGGAGAGGUGACAACAUUUCAUUCUUAUGCAAUAAAAACUCUUGCUACUUUUCUUCAUAUAGUCACUAAUGUUGCAAUCAGAAGUGGAAUUUCUAAAUUUUGUGUUGGUCCAUCAGCUCUCAGUGAGUUAACAUACAAUGUAGUUGGCAUUAGGUUGAAUUUUGCUAAUGGUUAUGAUAUAGCAUUGCAUGGAAUUGCUUCACUUUUUAAAACUCAUCAUGGUUUUAUCAAGCAUUGUGGCUUAAUUGGUGGUGUGUCAAGUAUGUUGCUAGUUGCCAAUAUAGGCCUUUGUGGUUAUGUUCAAGAGGUUUUGGUUAGAUUAAAUUCAACACUUGAUAUGUUGCUUCAAUCAGAUGUUGUCAAGUAUGAGUUUUUUGGGCUGAUGUGUGACCUUGAAGGAAUGGAAAUAGUCUACAGCCAAGAGGUCGAUUGCUCCUUGCACUUCACUUUUGAACAAUGGGAUCCUGAUGGCCAUUUGGAUUUGAAGUUCAAACAGUGGGAUCCAGGGAAGUUUAGCGUAGAAGCAGGAUUCUACAACCUUGAGGACAAGGUUGAUCUUGAAGGGGUCGGUAAUGAUAGGAUAUUUAGAAUAAUGAGUACUAAUGUGGUGACUCCCCUAGUUCUAGAAGGUAGUAUGACUCAUCUUAAUCUAGAAAGGAUCUUUUAGGCAUAUUCUAUUAGUUAGUUACUAAGCAAUGCUAUUGCGUAGCCGUUGUAGUUAGCUUACUAUGUGUAUGCACAAGUCUAUAUAAACAUUGUAUGCCUUAUUAUGAGGGAAAUGAAAAAUAUAAUGAAUUUCUUUUCUUUUAUCUCUAGUUUUCUCUUUUAAUUUUUGGAGUGUGAUCCCUACUCGAAUUGGGUCGUAUCACAAAAACAAUAAUUUUUUUUUACAGGGACUAAAACCAAAAUGAGGCAUAUUUGCAGGGACCAAAACCGUAUUUUAGCCUUGAAUAUACUAUCAUCCCUUGUGCUGUUGUGUUCAAACUGCUAAUGACAAGUAAAUAGACAUUUCUUUGGUUAGCUGACAUUGUUAAGGUUUUGGAAGAUAUGUCAAAGGACAACCUUGAGAUUCCUGUUGUGAUUGUCCGAGUUGAUAUCUGAUUCUUGUUUUUCAUAAUGUGGUAUUAUUUUUGGUUUACUUUGAUUGUAUUGAUGAUUGUAUCAACUUAAAUUGCGCAAGUCGCUAACAGUUGAUGAAGAACCUUAAGAUCUUGCAUUUUCUUGCAGGAUAUUUGCCGGAUACAACAAAUGUAUUAGGAUGUUUGAUUUACAUCGCCCUGGUAGAGAUUUUAAAUUGCAUUCAACAGUAAAAGAUAAAAAAGAAGGCCAAACAGGUAGUUUUCUGAUAGGUCUACUAAAUUGUUAUUAUAAUGGCUGUAAAAAAAUGGCAGAAAAUUCUGUAACACAAACAGACUCAAAUAAUUCAGUCUAUAUUAAUGCAGGUAUUAUAUCUGCAUUGGCUUUUUCUCCAUCUCAUACUGGGAUGCUAGCUUUGGGUUCUUAUAGCCAAACUACUGCUAUUUAUACGGAAGAUAACAUGGAGCUUUUGUAUGUUUUGCAUGGUCAAGAAGGCGGAGUUACACAUGUAAGUCUGGUUACUUGUAAUUUGUACAAGAUUGAUUCUCAUUAUAAAACCUAGCACAGACUAAAAUUUUCCCUUCUUCAGGUCCAGUUUUCCAGAGAUGGUAAUUAUUUAUAUACCGGAGGUCGGAAGGUAAAACUUUCACAUUUCCUUUUCUUGAUCUCGAAUACAGACAGCUCUAUACAUCACACUCUUAUUAUUGUUUACUUCAAGUUCAACCAUAAUAUUAAUAUCGUUGAUGCCCCCCUUCUUUUUUUCAUGGUUGUCUUUUAACAGAGUUUUGCAUCAUAUAUGAUUUUAAACAAUCUCUAACAUUCAAAUUUCUUAUAGGACCCUUAUAUACUGUGCUGGGAUGUGCGCAAAGCUGUUGAUUGUGUCUACAAGUACCAUUCUCUCGCCUCAUUUGACUCUGGUUUUUUGUCUGAAUUUUUUAUGUCAAUCUAAGGAAAGUAUGAAGUCUUCUUUAAUGUACAAAACUGACUCAAAAUUAUAUUUCAAGAUAAAGACAAAAGUACGACCUACUCUACAGUAAUGCCCUGAAAAUAAAGGAUUGGAUUCCCUUACGGUAGCCACUACUUAGUAGAGUAUAUGGAUGUAAAGCUAAAUUCCCAUAUUAAUUACUGACUGCUGAUGUGCGUGUCAAAGUCAUUCUAAAGACCCAUGUUUUUGCAUGUUUAAGUUGAUGUUUGCUAUGAUAUGGUUUUGUACAAUAAUUCUAUUGUUAUGAAACCUUACUGGCUCCAACUAUGUUAAUUCACUUGAGUUAUAUAUUUCUGCAAGGUAUAUACUCUUUAUUCCAUAAGUUAGCUGAGAUGAUUGCAUGUGUGCGUUGUUAUUAGGUUGUACAGAUCUGCGGAAAACACCAAUCAGCGGAUACUGUUUGAUAUUGACCCUUCUGGGCAGCAUCUUGGUACAGGCGGCCAGGUAUCUCUUUCCUUAAUUUUUAUUGUCUAGCAAUGCCAAUGAUGCUCAAUCAAUAUUCAUUUUAUGUUUCUAAACCGCUGUGUUUGCAAUUUUGGUUUCAGGAUGGUUCAGUGCAUAUAUACGAUCUUCAAACUGGGCAGUGGGUGUCAAGUUUCGAGGCUGCACAAGGUACUGAAGUUCUGCACUCUUUGCAAUGCCUGUGGUUAUAUUUCAUCUCAAUCUUGGCUUUAAUAUGAAAUAUUUUGAAUGUCACCCUUAUCUGAUCUAUAUUAGUUUCUUAAAGUAUUCUGUUUCAUUUAGAACAUCUCCAAUAUAUUUAUUCUGUGUAUAUUUCCUUCAUAAUUUUUACUCCAUUUUCCAUUCUUCCACUACUGCUCAAGUCAAACUAUCUAAAUUUUGACAGUGCUGCACUCAUAUCUGUAAAUCCAUCUCAAUUGCCUAUCCAUUGGGUUUCUUUCAACUUAGCUUGUUCCACCAUUUUGAUAAUCUCCUCAGUUUGACAGUCUUCAGUAUGCCUCUACUCUAGUUCACAUUCCGAAUUCCGAUUUUCUUCCUUAAUAUGCUUGUGUUACAAGCCUCAUGUUUUGACAUUGUAGUGAUACAUGCAUCAAACAGUGGCCAACCUUAUGGCAGUAAAAUGAAUUUUCUGUUAAAUGAGAUGGUCACGGACACGGUACUUUACCUGCACGAUCUGAUGUUCCGUGCUUAGCCCAUUUAUGCUAAUUCUAUGGACCGUUUCCUGUUAAUUGCGGAUGUGCAUCCUACAUUCUUUUUCCUCUUCCUCUUCCUCUAUAUUUUAAGAUCAUCUGCUAAAUGUAAGUCCCACCUAAUGUAAAGAGGCAAGAUUUUGGCACGGUUAUCUAUAUUUACCAUGUACUCUUUUACAUAUUGGACAGACAUUGACAGAGGGAAGUGUGAGACCUUUUUCUCAUGAAGUUUCUCUCGUAUUGAAACUAAUUUUUCCCAUAUGCUAUAAUGAGUUAUCGACUGUAGAUUUUGUGUACAUAUUUUCCAAUUUCGUAAAUAUAAUUGGCUUUCUUUUGUUCUGUUUGUUGUGCAGAUACGGUUAACAGCUUCUCUUUCCAUCCAUUUCUGCCCCAUGCUGUGUCAUCCUCAGGCCAUCGUAGAUUUGUAAUACCAGAUGAGAACGAUGAAGAUUUGUGUUUGAGUGGUAUAUUUGAUCUUGAAGCAUAUAUAUUUCUUUUUUGGGGGGUUUUCUGCAGUUUUAGUGUUUAUGUUCAACAUUAGCAUGAUAUCACCCUUGUUUAACAGCCGUAGCCUAAUUUCUUAUUAUCUUUAAACAACAUGUAGAUUUCAGGAAGUUCUGAAAAGCAUUAUAUAUUCUGUGGUAUUUGUGGGACAUGUUUACUGGAAUUUAUUGAUAAAAUUGGUUGUUUGAUGUAGGUCGUGAAAAUUGUGUCUCAGUUUGGAGUUUCUGUUAUGAUUCAAAGAUGGAGGACUUCAAGGGCGAUGACAGUUUCAAUAAUCAGUCUGGAAGUGGAUCCUUUGACUAAAAUUCCGGCAAAACAAUGAUUUUUAAAUGUUGGCAAUGAUCAAAACGGGUCAUUUCCUAAUUGUUCAUUAUUUGACAAUUAGCUGAUCUAAAUUUUGAAUAUAUAAUUUAUACUUGUAAAUUGCCAACUUCGUAGAGAGAGGACUGUGAAGUUCAGCUUGUCAUUUUGUUGGGUGAUAUUUGCCGCUGCUCUUUAUUCAGAAGCCUAAGUUUCAAGGAUUUGGAUUGCAUGCAAUCAACAUUAUGUGCAUUCAUGUAGUCAGUUGGUGGUUGUUGGAUCAAGAUUUACAUGCCUAAGUUUCAAGGAUUUGGAUUGCAUGCAAUCAACAUUCAUGUAGUCAGUUGGCGGUUGUUGAUCAAGAUCAGAAAACAUUCUAAUUUUGAUUUUUUUAAUAUGAAAUACCAAGCUUAAACUUGUAUAGUCCGAUUUUGAUCAAACAGCCAUAUGACAUGAUUGUAUAAAUGAUCCAAAUCUAAGUUUUGAUCCUCACUUGAGGAGCAAAAUUCUCUAUAUUAUUAAUACAGCAAAGACCACUGAUGGACAUAGCUAUAGGGAAAAACAUGGCAGCGAAUUUGAAACUUUAUCCUGAGAAAGUUUUUGACAUACAGUUUGAUCAAUUAUUCCCUUAUCGCCAAAUGAGUUUUUGGACCAUGAGGUUGCCGGUGAUAAAGGUUUAUUUUUCGAUUAUUUUGUUAAAUCAAUAAGGAUCAAGUGUUAAAUGCAUAAAGAAAAGAAGAAUCCAAGUGCUGUGUGUUUUGGUUUUGGUUUUUUAGGUGUUGGCUUGCUGUGUGUUUUUUCAGUAGCUUUCCAGUAAAGGUUUUUUUGCUUUUAGGUGGUUUGUGUUUUGACUCCCACGCAUGUGUGGUGGGUUUUACACUUUUCCAUCCUCUCUUUGUAGCUCUUGCAGCCUUUAGCACUUCUUGUGCAAGGUCUCUUAAUGAAAUUAUGCUGUUUCAAACCAUAAAAAUAAUGACGUCGAUUGUCAUCAAUUUAAAUGGUUACAAUGGUCGUGAAUCCAUCUGAUAACAAAAGACACUUCUCCACCUUAGCAAUUGGGGAAUGAUUAUUUGUUCAUAAAUGAAUAUGUUAGUGCCUUUAGAUUGUGAACAAUUUUCUUCUUACAACAAAGGGGUACUUUCUCAAGUCUCAGAUAUAUGAAGAUUUUUUUUUUUUUUUUUAAGAGAAAUGAUAUUUGUUCAACUAUUUUAUGAUAAUUUUUUGAUAACUUUCCUCCUACAUACUUAUAUUAUAUUAUUAUUCUCUCUUUUCUUUUUUCUUUCUCUCUAUUGUUUUUGACCAAUAAAAAGAGAGAGAAGCGAUAGAAAGAGAGAGAAACGAAGUUGUUUCAAAUGGUUUUUCAAAUAACACUACUCAAAGCUUUGAUGAUCGAAAAUAAAAGUACUUUUUAAUUUUUACUUUAUUUUAUGAUAUCAUUUCAAAAAAAAAAUUGGUGUAAAACAUGUGUCCUUUGCACGCGAAACUGUGAAAACUAAUCUCUAAGACUGGAUUUGAAUCAAAAACAUUAAUUAAGGUAGAAGAGACUCGUUUUAUCUUUUAGGUAUCAUUUCAAAAAUAUUCUUCAACAAAUAUUAGAAUUUAAAAAAGUUAUAUCAUAUUAGUUUUUUUUUUUUUAGGGAAGCAAAUCUUUCUUAUUAACGGGUGUCAGUCAACUAUUAAUGUUUAUCGUAGAUAUUAACCUUUAAAAGAUAUAAUUAUGCACUCACACUUUACAAGUUUUUUUUGUCAUAUUUUAUAUUACUAAUAAUUAUCGAUCUUUUGUUAUAUUUUAUAUGAGAAGUCCUCGUGAACUUAGCUCAGUUGGUAUGAACAAUGCAUAAAAUACAUAAAGUCCAGAUUCAAAUCCCACCCACCAUAAAAAAAAAAUUCUAUAUGAGAAAUGCUGAUCUUAUUGGUGAAGCUCAAAUGUAAACACCGUCUUAUACUUUCUUUAAUAUUUCCUGUUACACACGUUAAGCGUCUAUCCAACACGUCAACCGAGUUUUCUAUUCGCGUUAAGUAACUAUCCUCCCUCCACCAAAUGAAACCUAUAUAUACACAUUUUUCCUUCUUUACUUUACAGUUUACAAUCACAUAACUUCCAAUUUCAUCAUAUAUACUCUUUGAUCGUUCACCUCUUCGAUAAUAGUAACUUCAUCAUCAGUUCAAUAUCAUGAGUCAAUUAAACAACAAUCAGCAAAAAGCCCCAUCAGUAUCAUAUCCACCACCUGGUGAGGCCUAUUCUACACCUCAAUAUGUAACUGCCCCACCACCUAUGGGUUAUCCUUCCAAGGAUGGCUCUGCAGGGUACCCCCAACAAAGGAUUCCAGACCAAACCACUAGCAGGGGUGAUGGUUUCUGGAAAGGAUGUUGUGCUGCUCUAUGUUGCUGUUGUGCCCUUGAUAUCUGCUUUUAAGUUCUGAUUGAGGUGUUAUAGCAUAGAUUGUGAUUAUUGUCAUCACAAUUUUUUAACUCUGUUGUUUUCUUUUGUAUUCUUUGUAGUUGUAGAAGAAUAAGGAUAUUUAUCUUUUUGGACAUUUUGUAUUCAUUUAUUCAUUUGGUAGAAGUUAUUUCUUUCUUUGUAUCUACAAAAUACUUAAACACUCAAGACAGUGAGAGCUCCAAAAGUUUAAAGGUUUUUUCAUAGAAUGUAUUGUGUACAUUUUCAUAGUAGAGAGACUCCUUAUAUAUGUAGUUGGUAUUGCCACCUGGAUAUAAGAUAUCAAGUCUAUACAUAAUAAUAUAAUGGAUAAAUUAUUUUGUAUGUAGCUUGAUGACCACAUCUCACACGUCAAGAAUAUGAGUUAUCAAGUUUAUACAUAUACAUAAAUAUUAUGAGUAAAAUUUAUACUAGAGUCACACACCAUAAGAAUGGUACAUAACAUGUUCUAAAGAUAUUAUAAGUUAUUCUUGUAAUGAAAAUGUUGUACUUAAACCUUAAACCACUAUGAUUAAUAAACGUGGGCUCACAUGUUUUAUGGUCAUUUAAAUGUUGUCUGUAACAUGGUAACUAUAACGUUAGUUAAUAGAUACUUGAUAAAUCAUGUUGAAAUAUUGACCUAAAAGUAAUUUGCUCCUUCUCCAUAACAGGAGAAAUAUCAUUUAAGCUUCUUGAUAUAUUUUGGAUUCAAAUAAAAGCAAAUAUAUGAGUUUGAAAUUGUUUCAGAAAAAUCUAUUAAAUAAAAUCAAAUAAAUGGUUUUGAAGUUGUUUCAAGAUAUAUAUUUUAUUUAAAAAAAU